CUUUUGCGAGAAUCAAUCUCAAAAACACAAAAAGAUUAAAUGAAUUUUUCCUAAAUCCUAUUUUGCCCUUUUAAAAACAGUUUAUCAAACAUCUCAACUAAUUCCUCUCACAGCAAUUCCAGAAGCAAUUCUUCUUACAGCAAUUCCAGAAGCAAUUCUUCUCACAGCACAGCUGUCCCAAACUGGGCCUUAGUUAGGUCUGCCUAAUUUCCUAUAUUGUUAACGUUGUGGUCUAACUAACAUGUAGAGAUGAUGUCUUGUACCUCAUUUUCAUGUUUUCCGGUUUCUCUUACAGUAUAUACUAUAAGGAGGCGUUUGGUGACUUUGACUAGAUAGGAUAUAUAAUGAAAUCUUGUUCAAACCUGACAAGAUUGGAUAUGCGGAUAUCCUGCCUCUUAUCAAAUACAGCGUUUAGUAAGGUGUAUAAUUGGCUGUGUUUGAGCCCAGUGGGUAUUUUUUGGUCUAAGACUCGGGGUACGUUUUAGAUAACGCUUGGGCCAGUACCUGUGGCCCUUUUUUAAUGCGAAGCCCACGAAGGGUGGCGAAGUCUGGCAACACGCGAGUUAGAGUUUUGCAAGGAUUCCGAUACCCCGCGGGAUUCGAUGUCCUCGCGGGAUCUUUUGUUCCAGGUCGUGUAGGAUUCUACAGUGCAUGGCGAGGUAGAGUUGGAAAUGGACUGUGGUACUCCGCGGGAUAGGAUCGCUUAAUGUUCGAGUUCGCGUACGAGGCUACAGUGAGAUGAUGCGGGGCGGUGAGCGAGACCUAGGCGAGGUCUGUUUUGGACACGUGUUGCACGGAUCGCGCGGCUCGCGAGCUGGUCGUAUCCUUGUGGAAUUCUAAUUGCUGAGUCCGAACGGGUUAUGAUUAGGUCUCUGCGAAUUGCUUGCGGAUCGCUAUAUAAGGGAGCUCGACACAAACAAAGAAAGGACAAGCAAUCAUACAAAAACAAUUACAAAUCCUCGAGCAUCCUCGAAACCCUAAGUUCUAAGUGCACUUCGCCUUAGUUCUCAGACUCCCUCCUGAUUCGCCUUUUUCCCUAUUUGUUNNNNNNNNNNNNNNNNNNNNNNNNNNNNNNNNNNNNNNNNNNNNNNNNNNNNNNNNNNNNNNNNNNNNNNNNNNNNNNNNNNNNNNNNNNNNNNNNNNNNNNNNNNNNNNNNNNNNNNNNNNNNNNNNNNNNNNNNNNNNNNNNNNNNNNNNNNNNNNNNNNNNNNNNNNNNNNNNNNNNNNNNNNNNNNNNNNNNNNNNNNNNNNNNNNNNNNNNNNNNNNNNNNNNNNNNNNNNNNNNNNNNNNNNNNNNNNNNNNNNNNNNNNNNNNNNNNNNNNNNNNNNNNNNNNNNNNNNNNNNNNNNNNNNNNNNNNNNNNNNNNNNNNNNNNNNNNNNNNNNNNNNNNNNNNNNNNNNNNNNNNNNNNNNNNNNNNNNNNNNNNNNNNNNNNNNNNNNNNNNNNNNNNNNNNNNNNNNNNNNNNNNNNNNNNNNNNNNNNNNNNNNNNNNNNNNNNNNNNNNNNNNNNNNNNNNNNNNNNNNNNNNNNNNNNNNNNNNNNNNNNNNNNNNNNNNNNNNNNNNNNNNNNNNNNNNNNNNNNNNNNNNNNNNNNNNNNNNNNNNNNNNNNNNNNNNNNNNNNNNNNNNNNNNNNNNNNNNNNNNNNNNNNNNNNNNNNNNNNNNNNNNNNNNNNNNNNNNNNNNNNNNNNNNNNNNNNNNNNNNNNNNNNNNNNNNNNNNNNNNNNNNNNNNNNNNNNNNNNNNNNNNNNNNNNNNNNNNNNNNNNNNNNNNNNNNNNNNNNNNNNNNNNNNNNNNNNNNNNNNNNNNNNNNNNNNNNNNNNNNNNNNNNNNNNNNNNNNNNNNNNNNNNNNNNNNNNNNNGCCGACUGGCCCACUAUGGAGAGACUUUUCCGAGAGACAUACGGCACAAUUGAACCUGAAGUCGGCCUCGAUUCCCUCACACAGAUGACCCAGCAAAGCAUGGAGUCUGGCGUUUCUUUCCUCCAGCGUUUCAAGAUCCAGCAAGCCAAGUGCGAUUACUUGCUACCGGAACAGGAAGCCAUUAAGUUGGCUAUCAGAGGCCUGGAGCACCGCCAGCGGUUGAAGCAUCACGGAGAGCGCUUUACUUCCAUGGGUGACCUGAUUAACAAAGUUGGUAGCUACGAACUAAUCUUGAACGAGUUGGAUGACAGAGCAAAUGCCUCCAAAAGAACCUACAUACCAGGGAAGAAUCGGACAGUGGGGGCAUUAAGCCUGCAGGCCCCUACUUAUGAUUCGUAUUAUCAAAGGUCUGAGGAAGCUCGCCCGGAUCAGGAACAUGAAGAUAUUGGCGCAGUAGAACUGACUGGCAAGCCGUUGGCUCAUAAAUUGAAAAACCUGAAAAUAACGCGCAAGCCAAUCACCAUCCAGUCCUUUGCAUGGACCAAGCCAGAGUACGAGUCGUACACCUAUGAUGUUAAGAACGCCCAUCUGGUCUUUAAUGACCUAAUCGAGGCAAGAUACGUGCGCUUGGAUCACAAGAUACCGCCCAAGGAGGAGCUGAAAGACAAGAAGUACUGCGCCUUCCACAAUGUCUACAAUCAUGACACUAAAGAUUGUGUCAAGCUUCGAGACCAGCUGCAGACAUGGCUGAACUCAGGCGAACUAAAGAUGAAAACACCGGGUAGUACGGCCUCGUUAGUUGAUAUAGACCCUUUCCCGCCUGUAGUUGGCAUGGUCGAGGUAAACUGGGCCGAUCAGACCGAGGACGAAGAUCGACGCCGGGCACCUAAAAGGGGCCGCGAGGAAGGUGACGAUGGUGCCCGCCGGCCACGUCGCCAAUACACCUACAACGAAGAUCUUGCACAUGAGGUUUUAGACAAUCUCAUUGAAGACGGGCUCGUCACAGUGGCCAAUUCCUUGCCAUACAUAGAAUAUAAGGAGGGGCGCAUUCACUGCAAGUUUCAUAAUAGCUGGGGGCACAGAACCUGCGAAUGCCAGCAACUCAGAGACCAGGUUCAAGACUGGCUCGACCUCAGGUAUAUUCGCUUUAAGAAUAAGGGCGACUUCAUGAUCGCAACGGCUGACUUCGCUUGGCCUCGAGUCGGCCAAUGAAGAAUCACAUUAGACUUGUCGCCAAAUGCAGGUUUACACGAACCGUCGGGCCGAAAUCGCAAACGGCCGGUGAAUAACUAUACUGUCCCGAAUAACCAGCAGGGGAAAGCAGACGACCCAGCUCGACAGUUGGUCGCUAAGCUCGAAAUAGACCGCCCCUCCCGCAAAGAUAAGGGCAAAGCAGUCAUGAGGGACGAUGAACCGUUUCCCGUUGAAGAUCUCCAGCUUAUGAGUCCCAGGACUCGAGAAGAGGUGGAAAGGAGGGUAGAACGUCUCGAGACGUUCGUCUAUACACAUUGGGCAGAGGCGGUACCUUCAUCCCCUGCCACAAGUGAGAUGGACAUGUCAGACUCCAGCGGUGACCGUCACAACAACGAGGCCUCGAGCCCUCGUAAAGGCGUCCUAACCGACCCCUAUAUUCCCCCGACAUCCAAAUCAGCGAUCAAGGAUGGGGUCUGGUACACACAGCAAGGGGGCAAGGCAGUUACCAUCAGCAAGUCUAAGAGGCGAAAGCUCCAAAAGCGAUACGGUAGUAUCCUACGUGCCUUACGGGCCGUUGAAGAGGGCGCCGUACGCCCCUCACAGCUCGCACAGACGCCUGAGCGGAUGUGGAGGGAAGCAGAGGGUUUGCGCGCAUUCCUUCAAAUGCCGCCUGUCACACCCCCAAGGAUUUGCGAGCAGUUCAACGACGAGCCUGCACCCAAAGCAAACGUCUUUUGCCGACUCGCGGUUCCACCAAAGCAGGAUCCACAACCUUCCAGGCGCAGGCCAUCACCAGAACCUGAAAGAAGAAGGGAUCCACAACCUUCCAGGCGCAGGGCAUCACCAGAACCUGAAAAAAAAGGGAUCCACAGCCUUCCAGGCGCAGACCAUCACCAGAACCUAAAAGAAGAAGGGAUCUACAACUUGCUAGGCCCAAACCGUCACCAGAGCCUGAAAAGAGAAGGGAUCAACAAGCUCCCAGGCACAGGCCGUCACCGGAGCCCGAACGGAGAAGGGCUCCGCCUACCGGUCCUAGGCAUAAGCUGUUCACGACCCCGGACCCAGAGCCCAAACGCGAACCGUCUCAGCCCUCACGGCAACGGGAACGUCAAAAUCCGGAGGCCAAUAUCAGAAGGGAGCCACCACCACCACACCAGCCUCGGGCACGGUCUACCCCGGAGCCCGAGACUCGGAUGGUUCCCCGAGUAUCCGCCCUACAACGGUUGAAAAAAGAAGACAACGAUAAGGCUCCUUUAGCAACAGACAAACAACCAGCCAAGGACCAUCAGCCUUCAACCAAGUCAGUAUGGCGUUCGCGGCAACCCGAGGCUCAAGAACCACCAAUAACCGCACAGGCGCCCUCCAGUCCUAACCUCGCCCAACAAAUGGCCCAGCGUUUCCGCGAGAAUUCAGAAGACAACGAGGCACAUUCAGAACCUCGACUUAACCUAGAGGAAGACCGGGACGAAGAGCAGGCAGAAUCAUUCACCUGUAAUAUGAUAGAGGUCUCAGGAUGGGGUGCUGAUGAAGGGUUUAGCCGCGAAGCAGACGCUUUCGCGGUGCUCGAAGGCGAACACGGGAUCAUUGACACUCCCCUGGUCCUAGUUCCUGAACAAUUCUCCUUUCAAGUCAGGAUGGUGUUCUUCAUUUCGGAAAGAUACGCUCUCCCACCGAACACAACCUACAGUGUGGCGGAUAUUCCCGUCAGCAGCGAGGAUGUCAGUAGCAUACCCCCGCCAUGCAGCAGCGAAAUGGGCCCAGUUCCGGCACAGGCCGAUGACGCCCCACAGGUGGAAAUUACGAGCAGCAUCAAACAUAAGCAAACUCUAACAUUCUCCACACCAACUUUGGACAUGGUCACUCACAUGCGGCCACUGUAUAUCACGGCCGAAGUUGAAGGAAAAAUGAUCAACAAGGUCAUGGUCGACACCGGUGUCGUGGUCAAUGUUGUCACAACCCGUACCAUGGGACUCCUAGACAUCCCGCGCUCGAUGAUCCAAACCACGUCCUUAACAGUCAAGAACUUCACCGGGCAAGUGUCCAGAACCCUAGGCUUGCUAUUUCUACGGGUCAAGGUCGGGCCGACAUCACGGGUUUACACUUUUUUCGUCGCCGAAUGCGCUUCCUCUUACAGCAUGAUUCUUGGCCGAGAUUGGAUCCACAGAAGUUUUUGCGUGCCUUUCUCCAUGCACCAAGAACUCAUGAUUUGGGACGCCGAGAACCGUGAAGCGGUCAUCAUCAAAGCCGACCCGCGGCCAUUCUCCAUCUCCGCCAACUUCAACGAUACCCGAUAUUAUACUACAGACAUGGGUCCGUUGGAUGUUUAAGGCGUCGAUAACAAGGGCCGCCCAUAUGGAAUAACGGCCUCCAAUCUAACGCGAUGGGGACUUACCCAGGCGAAAGACGAUUUGCAACGUCCUCACACCAUCGCGGAUCCCACACCCCGUUCUGAUGAAUAGUGCCUUCUCAGAGGAGGCACGCGAGGUUGGCGAGUCCUUGUGCGAAAGACUCCUUUCGUACUGGGCAGAACGCGAAGCCUACGACAAGGUCGCGACUAUGGAAUAUGUAGAUAAAGUGGUGGAUUAUUCCGAUACCAAGGAGGAAGUUAUUCACUUAGCUCCCGCCGCCUUGGACGACACACCACCUCAAGUCCGCGACCCCAUUUCACAAGUUGACGUAGGGACUGCAGAAAAGCCCUUACUUAUUUCUAUCAGUGCCAAGUUGGCGGAGGACGAAAAGGAAACCCUUCUUGCUCUAUUAUGCGAGUAUAGGGAUUGCUUCGCCGAAAAAUACAAAGACAUGCCUGGCUUGUCCCCGGACUUAGUCUGCCACCGGUUACCAACUUAUCCCGACCGACGUCCAGUACGGCAGGACGGCCGAUUCAUGCGAACUGAGACUCAGAUCGUAGUCAAGGAAGAGAUCGAAAGCAUGCACCGAUCGGGCAUCAUUCGCGUGGCAAAGUAUAGCGAGUGGCUGUCCAAUAUUGUCCCCGUCCGUAAGAAAAAUGGCAAGAUGCGCAUCUGUGUUGAUUACCGCGACCUAAACAACGCAACACCAAAGGAUAUAUACCUCAUGCCUGUGGCUGACCUACUCAUUGAUGCCGCCGCGGGGCACGAGGUGUUAUCCUUUAUGGAUGGAACGGCCGGAUACCAUCAGAUUCCCGUCGCUGAGGAAGAUCGACACAAGACCGCUUUCCGCUGCCCUGGUUUUGCCGGCGCGUUCGAGUAUGUUGUCAUGCCUUUCGGACUUAAAAACGCGGGGGCAACGUACCAGCGCGCCAUGAACCUCAUCUUUCAUGACAUCUUGGGGAAGUUGAUCGAAGUAUACAUCGACGAUGUGGUAGUCAAAACCAAAACACGGGCAACCCACGUUGAAGACCUGUGGCAGGUGUUUACACGGAUGCGCCGACAUAACCUGAAGAUGAACCCCGCCAAGUGUGUUUUCUUCACGGAGGCCGGCGAUUUCCUUGGUUUCCUAGUGCAUCAAAAAGGCAUCGAAAUCCCAAAGGACAAGGCACAGGCGGUAAUCACCGCUUCACCCCCCAACACAAAGAAGGAGCUUCAACAGCUGCUUGGGAGAAUCAACUUUCUCCGCCGUUUCAUAUCCAACGCGGCAGGGAAGGUCCAGCCUUUUUCACCCCUCCUCAAGCUCCAGGGGGCAACCGAGUUCAUCUGGGAACCACAACAUCAACAGGCCUUCGAUCGAAUCAAGGACUACCUUACGAACCCACUAGUCCUGAUCCCACCUCGCGACGGUACCCCGCUUAAACUUUAUAUCGCCGCUGCAGACUUGUCCAUCGGCGGACUCCUGGCCCAAGACGAUGUGAACGGGGUAGAACACGCUGUCUAUUACCUUAGCAGGGUGUUAACUGAGUGUGAGACACGAUACUCACCUAUGGAGAAAUUGUGUCUUGCCCUAUAUUUUGCAGGGUGCAAGCUGCGCCAUUACAUGCUUGCUUUUACCACGGUUGUGAUCGCUCAUUCCGACCUGGUCAAAUACAUGCUUUCUCGCCCUAUCUUGCGGGGACGCAUCGGCAAGUGGAUCUUAGCCAUGUCCAAAUUCUCGUUGCAAUAUGUUCCGCAAAAUGCAGUAAAAGGACAGGCAAUAGCAGACUUUCUUGCUCAUCACCCACCCUCAGAGCUCACGGCGUUUCGCGAGUUGGAAUUCGCUGCUGUGGCACUCGCUCCAUGGACCCUGUACUUUGAUGGUUCACGGAUUGAUACCGCAGCUGGAGCUGGGAUAGCCAUAGCCAAUCCCGCUGGAGAUCGCUUCUCCUAUUCGUUCCAGCUCGAUUUCAAAUGUACCAACAACCAGGCUGAGUACGAGGCGUUGAUCAUCGAACUAGAGAUUUUGUUGGAUUUAGGAGUCCGCGAGGUUCAGAUCUUUGGCGAUUCUUUGUUAGUCGUUAACCAGCUGGUGGAAAAGUUCAAGUGCUUAAGCUCGUCAAUUGAACCAUACCUGCGCAAGGCAUUUGAGGUGUUGGAUCGAUUCGACGACGUCUACAUCGAACACAUACCACGUGAGUUCAACUUCGCCGCCAACGAGCUCGCCCAGGUAGCAUCCGGCCUCAGCCUGCGCGACGGCGUGCGCGAGCGUUUGCUCAAGGUCGAGCGCAGUACUCUUCCCUCUUUCAUCGCUAGGGGCAGUUUCAGGCCGCCACCCCCGAAGUUGCGGCCUUGGACCCUAUCGACGAGGAUUGGCGGCUACCAUUUAUCGCCUACCUCCAGAACCCCAACGACGCCGCUCACUCCAGGCAGAUACGUUUCCUCGCCCUAAACUUUGUUUUACGCAAUGGCGAACUCCGGCGGCGUGGGGAAGAUGGAACCGACUUCCGCUGCGUGUAUGGGAACGAAGCUAAACGUGUCAUGCGCGAAGUACAUUGUGGAGUUUGCGGUUCGCACCAGGCCGGGCCAAAAAUGCGUUGGUUAAUCCGUCGCCAUGGGUACUACUGGCCAACCAUUCUGAAAGACUGUAUUGCCUUCGCCAAAGGUUGCCAAGACUGCCAGGCUCACGGACCAGUGCAACAUAUUCCCAACAUCCCGUUGCAGCCUAUCAUUAAACCUUGGCCGGGUCGCGGUUGAGCGAUAGAUUUCGUUGACAUCAUUCAUCCCCAUUCUUCUGAGCAGCAUAAGUUCAUUAUCGUCGCCACCGAUUUCUUUACCAAAUGGGUCGAGGCCGAACCACUUAAGGUUGCAUCCGCCAACUCGGUGCGCAACUUUAUUUUCCGCAAUAUCAUCUCCCGCUUUGGUAUCCCGGAGUGCAUCGUUACGGACAGGGGGGCAGCUUUCAUGGCUGAUUCAGUUGUUAAGUACUUAAACGACUACGACAUCAAGCUUCUCCACUCUACGCCAUAUUAUGCACAGUCCAACGGCCAGGCGGAGGCUAGUAAUAAGGUUAUCCUCGGUAUCCUCCGCAAGAUGUUGGAGUUGAACCCGCGUGUCUGGCAUGAGGAACUCUACCACACCUUGUGGGCUUACCGCACUUCAAAGCGCGGCCCGACGGAUACUACCCCGUACGCUCUCAUGUACGGUCAUGAUGCCGUCCUUCCCCUCGAGAUCAAUAUAGCUUCACUACGCGUUCAGGAACAGCAUCAACUACUUGGCGAGGAUUACGUCCAAGCUAUGUGGCAGGAGCUUGAAGAUCUCGACGAGCACCGCGUCGCCGCUUUCAACAAUCUCAUCCUCGAGAAACAACGCAUCGCGCGUUCGUACGAUAAAGUCACGCGCGGACGGAACUAUGCCGAGGGCCAAAAGGUGUGGCGCGCGGUACUCCCACUUGGGGAAAAAACCGACGGUCGGGGCAAGUGGUCCGCUCGAUGGGAAGACCCCUUUAUUAUUCAUCGUAUACUCCCCAAUGGAGCAUACCACCUGCGCGACUUGGACGGCACCAUCCAUCGCAAUCCUAUUAAUGGCCGUUUCCUCAAGCGCCACUUUGCUGGAGUUUGGGAACGCGAGGAUCCUCCACCUCCCCCAGGCCCCGUCGCUAAUGUCAAUAGUGUUACGCGCCAUCGCGUUCUCGCUCCGCUGCCUAACACUAGGGGGCAAUCCGAGGUAGAAGACUGAUAGAGUACGUUGUAACAUACCAGCCUAAAAGGGCCAAUAUAAGAUUGGGGCCUAUUCCAGAGGCCCUAAAUAAGGAUAACUCUGUUUUUCUUCAUUUUCUGUAAACGUGCAAAGUCUAAACGCAAAUGCCAGUACAAGAUUGGGGCCUAUUCCAGAGGCCCUAAAAAACAAUAAAUUCAUUUAUUUUGCCUUUUUGGCGUUGUUUCAAUACAAGUUUCGAACAUCGGCUUUGCGGCCGAAGCAACUACAUUGACAGAAAGGGUGAAAUUACACUAGGUUUACAUUCAGAAGCAUAGAUCUGCAGAUAUUGGAAGCCUCAACCCGUAUAUCUUGCAGGGUUGAAGAAGAGACUGCCGCCGCAUCCUUCGUUUAAAGUCGGCAAACGCCCCGCUCCCAUAGACCAGCACGAGCCUUGACACCGGCCUGGACCUAAGACAAAGUGUUGGGAAGCUAGAGGUCCACUGGACCAGGGUCCCUCAUACUACCGGUCAUGCCUCGAAGAUGCUUGAAAGGCACUGACCAGAACCUGAAGCGCAAGCGGAUGCGAAGCCUCGAGAACCUCACGUUUGGACAGAACAGCUGGUGCAAGGCAGAAGGUACCCAACCAUUAGUUUGUCCAAACAAAGGCUUGACCUGAGAGUAGAUUUUCAUAUUCACUCCCGACCUGAGAGUAGAUUUUCAGACUCAUAGGGAACGAAGAGUGGAAAUAAGAGGUGGGGGCUUUGCUUUAAGCAGGGACAAGAGGAUAUACAGAAGGGUAUAAGAGCCCAUGGCAAGGGGGCAAAGACUUAACUGGUACUUCGGCCCGGCCAAGCGUUUCUUUUUAUAGGCAAAAAAUGCCGAUUUUCCUUUUGACAAAUGUCCUCCAUGCAGCGAUUUGCUUCGAAAUAUGAGCUUUUGAGACAAGGUCGGACAUGUUAUUCCAUGAUGACUGCCCGCGUUCCAAGCGAGUAGUUACAUUGGAAACCCCCACCGAAUCUCGGAAGAAGAUUUUUUCCUGAGAAUGCAGUUCUUACACAAGAUUCGACAAAGAGCGGGAAAGAUUUGAUUUAAUAUUAAUAUUAUUAUAAAGGUUCAUACAAAGGGGGCAAAGCGCUGAUCAAGUCUAAACCCGCCUAGAAGCCCUAUACAAAUCUAUGAGAAGGCCUUCUAAGGCCAACUCUUCAACAUCCGCCUAGGCUUGGGUUUCGUCGGCAGCAGCAAUAGCCGAGUCCAAAGCUUCCUGGGUCUCUUCCGCGGCCUGCACACGGGUUUCUGCUUCUUCAGCUCGGGCCAAGUUCUGGCGAGCUUUAGCAAGUUGAGCUUGCAGCUCCGCUAUCUGAGCCUCCAGGGCCUCCACUUGCCGAGCAUAAACAGUACACGGAUUCUCUAAAGACGCCUCAGGAAUCUCAGCGUCUUCAAGUUCGGCUAAAAGGGCUGCCAUCUGAUGGUCUAAGGCUUGGCGGACUUUCUCGUGAGCAGCCGACUGGGCACCGGCAUCUUGAACUCGGCGAGCCUGCAGCUCGACAGCGUCGAUGAGUUCUAACACAUGGUCUAGAGCAGGGUUGCUGCCGGCGAGGUGCCAAAUCAGAGCUUCAUGGGCCUCGCGGACACGCCUCACCAAGUCAAAUACAUUCAUGUGGGGACCUUGACGCAGUAGCCCGUGAAAGAAAACUCGGGCUAGGCGAAUGGGCUCUGGAUCGGCAGGCGGGGUAAUCCGGGCCCAAAGACGAGCGGUCCGGGUAGCCAAAGAAGAAACCGCCUCGCCGGAUGUUCUCAUUGGGGCCGGGGUGGUUGGUUCAACCUUUGCGACUGCCUCAAUUUCUGGAACGGGCGUUGGGACCUCAGAUCGAGUAGGGACUGUCGGUUCUUCGGUGGUCUGGGCCGUUGAGUCUGGUUGCAAAAGAGAGGGCUCAAGCACCGGUUGCAAGUCCUUUGACGGAACCGCCGAAGGGGCAGCAAAGUCAGAAAGCCGGGUGGUCUGGCCGAGAUCUUCAUCUUGAGCAGGAGCCGAGGUAGGCUCUAGAGGCGGGCCAGUUUCGCCUAGAGCGUCGGUUGGAGAAGGGGGUUGCACGACGACUUCCUCGGUAACCGUGGUCUGAUCCCCGACGUUUGAUUCCGGGAUUGGGACUUCAACUAUCUCUGUCUCUCCUUCAAUGACAGCGAGGCGAGGUCGGAUGCGGCGGCGGACCUGUCAAAUACAAAGUUAGCAAAUCGUUUGUUGGCUUUAAUGAGUUUGGUUCGAAGAAAGGUCGCUUACCAAAGCGUGCUCUUGCCGAUAUCGUUCAUCCUCUAGCAGCUUUUCUUCGUCCUCGACAGGGCGCUUCCGCGAGCUUUCGCCGCUUAUUGGCCGGGGAAUGACGGGAGCAGUCUCACCGUCAUGGUCUGCCGCGGGCUCCUCUUGAGCAGGUGCUUUCCCUUUGUCUCCGGCACCCUCAGGUCUUCUGACCGAUCUCCGGUGGGGUGCAGACUGUAAAGGUAGAUAGGAGAGUUAGGAGGAAACAUUUUGUUGAAGUGGUAAAGGCGGUAUGGAAUUUACAUAGUUGUUGGUUUACCUCGGGUGCGGGAUCGCGUUCUCGGAUGACGAUCCCGGUCGAGCGGCGAAUAGCAGGAACUGGUGGGAGUGCAAGCCUAGACCCUGUCGCAGCCUUUGGACUGCUCUCUUCCCGGUAGCGCUGGGCAUCAAGAAUGACGGGGUCUGACUCGCCCAGAGUGUCGUAUAGAGGAUAAAAGAUGGCAGCAAAGACAACAUCAUCUGGGAACCCCCAAUGGUUGUCGGACAAGGAUCGCCACCAAGAGAGAUAGGCGGGGUCAACGCCCAGUGAAGGCUUAAUCUCGAGCAAGUCAGGAGUGAGAGGGAAAAUGUUCUGCAGCGGGGUGACUCGAUCGGACUCGCCAAUCUUCCUCCAGGAGGUGUACUUGUUCACCGAAUGGAAGAGUGGGUAGGGGACCCCUUGAAAGAAGCCAAGUUGUCUGGCGAAGUGGUUAGGGGCAUACAGCUCGAAGCCUUGUUCAUCCUCGGCGAGCUGAAGGUCACAGCAUGAGGAUGCUCUCAUAAAGACGGUCUUGGCGUCAGAGUCCGAAUCAGAGCGAGGGAAGAAGCCCGUUGAUAAGACUUCAGGGUGACACCGGCGAACCAUCAUAUUUAUGGUGGGAGGCGGUUCGAGUUGGUUGUACAGGAUGGAGAGGCUGGCGAAGAAGGACAGGGGAGUCCGGUUCGCAGCGUUCUUGCACACCGCGAAGCCAAGCAGUUGGUCUUCGGGCAGAAAUUCCAGCGGGGCUCGCCGGAAGAGCGGGAAGUACAGCUGCGUCCAUAAGUCCAGGAUCCACAGAGGGCCAGCAGAGAGAUGGAAGGGUCUUAGGGACAGCAUGUGCAGGGUCCGGUAGAGUGCGCCCAGUACGGGCUGCCCUAGCUCUACUUCGAUCCCAUUGUAGAGUGCCUCGGCCAGCUUUGUCCAUUUCCCUGUAGGCUUAUGAGCACUGCCAUAGAAUAUGAAUUUAUCAAGCCAAUACUCAAGGAAAGCGAUACCUCCUUCGUGUUGUUCUGCAUGGCCAAUGUAGAAUUUCCUCCAUACUCCAUACGAGCUUUUCAGGGCGCGGCGGGCCCCCAGAUUGCAGGAAUGUGUAAACUCGGUCGAUGCAAAGUCGCCUGACGCAUAUGGCUUUGCAUGAAUCUGCAGUCCUAUGAUGGUGAGGAUGUCCAGCAGUGAGAUACUCAUUUGCCCGAAGAGGAAAUCGAAGGUGUUGGUGGCGCUGUUCCAUAAGCAGGCCGCGGCAGCAAUGGGUGCUCGAUCAGCAUGAGGAGGCAGCGAGAAACUCAAGGCAAUGGCUUCGUUGAUGCCGGUUGCUUCCUAGAUCGCUUAAUCGGUCUAGAGGCGAGCUGUGUACCAUGCCCGGUCCUGCGCGGUGACGCUGGGCCAUUCCCCGACCCGGAUAUUUAUAUGAGCGGGCUUGUUGAAACCAGGAGGCGAAGUUUCCCGGUUCGCGACGCUGGACAAGGAUUGGCCGGCGCAUGGAGUCGGUGUAGUGGUUCAGAUCAGCGGCGGACGGAGGUUGUGAAGGGAUCGGACCGAGUAGGGCUGCCCCUGUUUCAAGGAAAUAAAUGGGUGUUCUUUGAGGAGGGUUGUUGGCAAAACGGCGAGCGAGGCCGGUCGACCAAGAGCUCGCCGCCGUGAGGUUAAGGUUUGGAUCGUUAGCAGUUGGUUUGGGAGCCAUUGUUUCUGGGCGGAGUGAGUCCGGUGGUGAAGUUCUGUUGGUUGCAGAAGAAAGGGAAAAGCUUGGUUGGAAAGCGAUGGUGAGAUGUGGGGACCCGCAUCGAGGUUUAUAAAGGAGACGGACCGUAACGUCUUUUCAAUCAGUAGCCGUAACGAGGAGACGCGAUGACGACCGAAACGUCAGCACGUUUCAAAUUUCAAACAGUCGCAAUGAUGAAGGGAGGCGACGAUGCCGAAACGUCAGUACCUUUUGAAUUGCGGAUUCCCGUAAAGUGCUCAUUAAGGCCUUUUCGCUUAUCCGUUGCGAAGUGGAUUAAGCUCAAGGCCUAGGGGGCAAUGUUUAAGCCCAGUGGGUAUUAUUUGGUCCAAGACUCGGGGUACGUUUUGGAUAACACUUGGGCCAGUACCUGUGGCCCUUUUUUAAUGCGAAGCCCACGAAAGGUGGCGAAGUCUAGCAACACGCAAGCUGGAGUUUUGUAAGGAUUCCGAUACCCCGCGGGAUUCGAUGUCCUCGCGGGAUCCUUUGUUCCAGGUCGUGUAGGAUUCUACAGUGCAUAGCGAGGUAGAGUUGGAAAUGGACUGUGGUACUCCGCGGGAUAGGAUCGCUUAAUGUUCGAGUUCGCGUACGAGGCUACAGUGAGAUGAUGCGGGGCGGUGAGCGAGACCUAGGCCAGGUCUGUUCUGGACACGUGUUGCACGGAUCGCGCGGCUCGCGAGCUGGUCGUAUCCUUGUGGAAUUCUAAUUGCUGAGUCCGAACGGGUUAUGAUUAGGUCUCUGCGAAUUGCUUGCGGAUCGCUAUAUAAGGGAGCUCGACACAAACAAAGAAAGGACAAGCAAUCAUACAAAAAACAAUUACAAAUCCUCGAGCAUCCUCGAAACCCUAAGUUCUAAGUGCACUUCGCCUUAGUUCUCAGACUCCCUCCUGAUUCGCCUUUUUUCCCUAUUUGUUGCUCUGCUCACCCUAGCAGUGAGUAUCGAUUCACAGGUGACAAGAGAUCUUACUUGUAAUCCCUCAUCCGUGAGGUGGCACCGGUAACCCCCUCUUCGCUUGUUUAGAAGUCUAGCCGCAGCGCAUUCCUUUCCUCGCCCGCGAGGUGGCACGCCCCGCAAUCUCCUUCUCUUUACUUUUGAGUCACCGGAGUUCCGACUCUGCCCCUGCUGAGACGCGUGGCCAAAACAAGCUGAUUAAGAUAAGCCAAAAACGGAGAAUCUCAACAAUUUUCUUUUUUAUUAUCAUUUUUUUUUUGGAAAAAUGCCCAUUUAGUACUAAUUUAAACUCCUCAUUUUCCAUUCCAAUGACAAUCUUUUUCAUUAGCCCAUUCCAAUAUAAGGUAACAUUUUUUAUGCCCAAAUGCACAAAUCUUUAUUAAAAUCUUAACAAACCAUAUUAUUUUAAGACUAUUUUACCCUCACCCCUUAAACAUGCAUAGAGAGAGAAAAUGGAAGAGAGAAUACUUGGCCGGAAUCUCACCAGACUCCGGUCACCGGCCGCGGGACUCCGGUAUCCAGCCAUCGGAAUCCGGUCACCGGCCGCCGGAUUUCUCUGGUCGCCGGAUUCCGGUUACCGGUGACUCAGUUACUAACCUCCAAUAAUCGGUUAUUGACCCCCAAUAAUUGAGUACUGACCCCCAAUAAUCAGUUACUGACCCCCAAUAAUUAGGUUACUAACCCCUAAUAAUCAGUUACUGAUCCCUAAUAAUCGGGUACUGACCCCCAAUAAUCAACUGAUUCCAGCUUAGUUUAAUAGAAAAGAAGAAAUAUCAUAAUAUAAUCAAGUUACUGAACCAAUCUCAAGCCCCAAUUUCAGCAUACGCCACUAGCGCAACCUGGUCAGGUUCCACAUUUGCCCUCCUCAUCUCCCUAGAAACUUUUAACCUCGAGACUUCUCCAUAGAAAUGUCAAAAUUCCUCAUCAAUGAUAUCAUAUACUCUGCGUUCCACAAUAUAUACCUAAAAUCAAAAUCCCAAUCCAUUUCAAUUCAAUCAAUUUUGGAUUCAAAAUCUUCAAAAUUUGGAAAUGAAGUCGGAAAUAUCAAUUACCCGCUGACCUUUCAAUUAAUGGAUAUUUCGGUUGGUUCGGUACUCAACAACCAGGCACCCUCCACGCUUCCUUAACAACAGCUUGGCAACCUUCUCAGCAGCCAGGGAGCUCUGCAAACCCUAAUCGUGACUGAGAACUGAUUGGACAAGCAUGAACAUCGGGUGGCACCGGCGGGCACAAGCUAGAGGCGGAGGCCGACGAGGCAGAGCUUGCUUGGAGACUGUUGAGAUGGCGACGACGUUUGGCGAGCGGCACAGUGUUUUGGAUCUGCUGCCGAGGUCGGAUGAGGGGGCUCGUUAAUGACUCUAAGACUCCUAUUAGUUACUAUUGAUGCCAUGAAGAUACAAGAAAUCAAUCAUCAAGAUAGAAAAACCCCUUUUAAUAGCUGACCUUGUAAUCGACAAACCCCUUUUAAAACCAAAUUAAAAUACCUACUUAUAGUCUCUCCCGAGCGGUGGAAUCGAUCUUGUAUUGUGCGGUUCUUAACAUGGUGAGCAAGAAUAUAUAGAAAAAUACACAUUUGCUCCUCUACUAGGACUGAACCAUCAUUAGUCAACCCCCCAUCAUGACGAAGUAAUUCACAUAACAAGUGAAAUGCCCUCCUAUCCAUCCGGAGUUCAUUUAUACAUGUUGUGUCACUUGUAUUUAUGAACUUAUCUAGAAGACUAAAACGAGUAUCAUGCCUAACAAGUGUUUGAUCACCUAAAACCCUUCUUCUUUUCCGGGAUCUAUGCAUCACAACACAUAAAUACACAAACAUCAUUGUGCCUAUCAUUUGUUUCUGUAUAUGCAGCUGCCUUACCAACAAAAACAUCCAAAUUCUCCUUCCAUCAUGUAAUCAUUAAAAACAUGCCAAAAAGAAAAGGAACGGAUAUAAGUAUGUUACAGACUAAUCUAGACAUAAAAAAAUUGACAUUGAAACCAAAUCAGACACCACUGAAUAUAAAAUAUACAUAUAUGAAUAUGAUAUAUAUAUAUACAGAUUUUCUCAGGUGCGAACGUUCGCACCAAAGUUUUGAUGCGGAUUUCCAUUUUUUCACCACUUCCCGAUCGAAUUUCCUCAAACUUCCUUCUAGACAUAUCUAGAUCAUCUUGUGUAGAUCAUCUCUGCAAAAUUUCAGCCAAUUUGGUGAUCGUUAAGGCCCUCAAAAUCGAAAAACAAAUCUGACGGACUGAAUUCUGUCCGGUUCAGGUAUAUAACAGAAAAACGCAAGUUUGAGGGCCUUAACGAUCACCAAAUUGGCUGAAAUUUUGCAGAAAUGAUCUACACAAUAUGAUCUAGAUAUGUCUAGAAGGAAGUUUGAGGAAAUUCGAUCGGGAAGUGGUGCAAAAAUAGAAAUCCGCACCAAAAACUUUGGUGCGAACGUCCGCAGCCAAGAAUGGCUAUAUAUAUCUAUGUAUAGUUUGAGAGAGAGAAUUACCAGAAAGUACAUCAUUAGUUACACCAUGCCAUUGCACCAAACCCUGCAUCCAACAGAUACAUCAUUAUAAACAACCAAAAUAAGCGUCAGACUUAUAUAUGCCUAUCAAAGUGAACACAAAUGAAGCACUAAUCCAUACAAAUAACACUUUGGUCCCAAUUUGAUCAUAGUGUAACCAAAAGACAGCUUAUAAUCCCACUUUUCUCUUUUCUCUUUAUACUAAUUAGUUAUUCAAGUUAAAGACAAAAAGCAAAGAAGAGCCGAUUCUUCUGCUUUUUUCUCUAGAUAUCAUAAACCAAACAAAAAUAUCAUCCAUAAAAACAAUUGAGAAAGAGAGCUCACCAGAAGAUAAACGGAUACGUGAUGCCAUGAGCCCAGAUCUGUAAACAAUAGAACACAAAUCGAAUUAUUCAAAUAUUCAUAUUACCCAUGAAUUAAAUUCCACAAUACAACAUCAAAUUUGAGAGAAAGAUUCAUUGCGUAGGACUGAAGUUGAAUCUCAUAUAGCUACAAAUCAAAAACCACAAACAUGAGUUAGCUCUGAUGAAAGCUUACCCGAAAAACAAUUCCACGAGAUCAGCAACGGUUGAAAUCGGAGGCCGUCGAAAACGAUCACUGGAAAUUUAAUGGAGCAGGUACGAUGAUGAGAUGGUCGUAGAUUCGCAGAGGAAGAGAAGCUACGGUAGUUUCGGCUUUUGUCGAACGAAGCUGGAUUAUUUUUAUAGCAAAUCACAUAUACAUCCUCCAAAAGGAUUUGAAACACAAAUAAAUCCACUUGUGUUGUUGUUAAACAAAUAAGGACAGUUUUUAACAAUUAAAGACAAUCUUUUCUCUACAUUUCAUGUGUCAUGAUUUAAUUUACCAAACUAACCUUAUACUAAUUAAAUAUACUUUUAGAAGAGAAAAGUCUCUUAUUUUGAGAUUUUUCAGUAAAUGGAAUACAGUAGCAGAUUUUCAAUAAUUUAGUGUAGUAGCAGUUAAUUUCAGUAGAAGUAGUAGCAGGGGUUAACAUUCCAGUAGAAGUAGUAGCAGGGGUAACAUCCUAGUAGACAGGGGUAACAUCCUAGUAGAUUUAGUAGCAGGGGUUAACAUCCCAAUAGUAGUAGCAGUUAAUUCUAGUAGAAGUAGUAGCAUGGGUUAAUAUUCCAAUAGAAAAGUAGUAGCAGAGGUUAACAUCUCAGUAGAAGUAGUUGCAGGUUUUCAGUAGCUCAGCUAAUGUAGUAGCAUGUUUUGUUGGAAAGCUACACUUCUAACAGAUGUAAUAGCAGAGUUUUAGUGGUUCAGCUAGUGUACGUAGUAGCAGCUUCAGUAAGUGCAGUAGUAGCUUCAGUAAGUACAGUAGCAAGUUUUCAGUGGCUCAGCUAAUGUAGUAGCAUGUUUUGCUGGAAAGCUACACUUCCAACAGAUGUAGUAGCAGAGUUUUAGUUGUUUAGCUAGUGUAGUAGCAGCUUCAGUAAGUGCAGUAGCAUGUUUUCAGUGUCUCAGCUAAUGUAGUAGCAUAUUUUGUUGAAAAGCUAUACUUCUAACAGAUGUAAUAGCAGGGUUUUAAUGGUUCAGCUAGUGUAGUAGCAGCUUCAGUAAGUGUAGUAGCAGGUUUCAGUGGUUCAGCAAAUGUAGUAGCAGCUUCAAUAACAGCUUCAAUUAGUGCAGUAGCAGCAAAUGUAGUAGUAGUAGUUAUUUUCAGUACGUGCAGUAGCAGGUUUUGAGUACCACAACUGCAAUUGGAUGUCUUUUUUCUCAAGAAAAAGACUUUACUCUUAUUUGAGGAUUUUAAUAUAUCGGCAUAGUCUCCGUGAUGUUUAUUUAAGUCUCAUAAACAUAUUCAUUCUUUUUCUUUUUUAAUUAUGCUUUCUGCAAAAAGAAGAAGUGCAGAGCAGUCAUGGUCUCGGCUNNNNNNNNNNNNNNNNNNNNNNNNNNNNNNNNNNNNNNNNNNNNNNNNNNNNNNNNNNNNNNNNNNNNNNNNNNNNNNNNNNNNNNNNNNNNNNNNNNNNNNNNNNNNNNNNNNNNNNNNNNNNNNNNNNNNNNNNNNNNNNNNNNNNNNNNNNNNNNNNNNNNNNNNNNNNNNNNNNNNNNNNNNNNNNNNNNNNNNNNNNNNNNNNNNNNNNNNNNNNNNNNNNNNNNNNNNNNNNNNNNNNNNNNNNNNNNNNNNNNNNNNNNNNNNNNNNNNNNNNNNNNNNNNNNNNNNNNNNNNNNNNNNNNNNNNNNNNNNNNNNNNNNNNNNNNNNNNNNNNNNNNNNNNNNNNNNNNNNNNNNNNNNNNNNNNNNNNNNNNNNNNNNNNNNNNNNNNNNNNNNNNNNNNNNNNNNNNNNNNNNNNNNNNNNNNNNNNNNNNNNNNNNNNNNNNNNNNNNNNNNNNNNNNNNNNNNNNNNNNNNNNNNNNNNNNNNNNNNNNNNNNNNNNNNNNNNNNNNNNNNNNNNNNNNNNNNNNNNNNNNNNNNNNNNNNNNNNNNNNNNNNNNNNNNNNNNNNNNNNNNNNNNNNNNNNNNNNNNNNNNNNNNNNNNNNNNNNNNNNNNNNNNNNNNNNNNNNNNNNNNNNNNNNNNNNNNNNNNNNNNNNNNNNNNNNNNNNNNNNNNNNNNNNNNNNNNNNNNNNNNNNNNNNNNNNNNNNNNNNNNNNNNNNNNNNNNNNNNNNNNNNNNNNNNNNNNNNNNNNNNNNNNNNNNNNNNNNNNNNNNNNNNNNNNNNNNNNNNNNNNNNNNNNNNNNNNNNNNNNNNNNNNNNNNNNNNNNNNNNNNNNNNNNNNNNNNNNNNNNNNNNNNNNNNNNNNNNNNNNNNNNNNNNNNNNNNNNNNNNNNNNNNNNNNNNNNNNNNNNNNNNNNNNNNNNNNNNNNNNNNNNNNNNNNNNNNNNNNNNNNNNNNNNNNNNNNNGAGAGAGAGAGAGGGUUUUAAGAGAGAAUUAAUGAUGGUAAAUCAUGUAAUUUUGUUUAUAAACUGGAUAUUUUGGUCAUUUCACGAUGAAAAUUGCAGUCAACAUCUGGUAUCAUUGACUUUGGGCAUGGACUUAUGUCCUUAUUUGUUUAAAUCUGUUGAAAUGUGGUUUUUCUGUUUUAUGCAACUGUUUAGGGUAGUGAGAUGUCAUUUUCUAUUAUUUUUAUAACACCUUCUUAACUGGAUUUGUAAUCCAUGUUGUACAGGAAUUAAAUUUUCCGACCCAACCAUGAUGUCUGGGCCUCCAAACAUGCCAUGUAGCCAGAUUGGAAUAUUUUAAUGAAGUCCGUGUCUUAUAUCCGGUGUAACAAACGCCUCCAAAACCGUAAAACUAUAAGACCGUCUACAUUAUUAAAAGAGACUUCAAAACUACAGUAACUACUAGGCUCCCGGAUUCGAGUGCCCAAGUAAAGCCCAAAACAAAAGCCCACAGCCCAUGGAAAACCCUAGCCAUCAUAGAAACAAGCUGAGAUCAGCCAGGUUCUGUGUUGUGGUAUACAUUAUAAAUAAGCUUGAGAUUCUUGUUCUGAGGGCAAGGCAGGUGUUGAGUUCGUGGUUCUUGAACAAUCCAAAGCAAACUGUAGUCUCGGCUUCUUCUUCUUCUUGUAUGACCAAAAUACCUGAAUUUGGAACCUCUGGAGGUGCCAAAGAGAGCAUGGAAGGUACUUACUGGUACAUAGAGUGAUAGAAAGAGGCAUAUGUGCCCUUGUCACAUACAUCUUCUCUGUAAGUGCCUUAAUCCUUGUUGCAGUCUAUUCAUCACAUCAGCAAAUCAACUUUCAUGGAUUUGCAAAGGUACACAUGUAAAUCACCUUUCUCCAAUCAAUAGCUCUAUGCUGGAAUAUUAUUCAAUUUUAAUGUCUGUUUAUGUAUGCUAUUCAUCAAAGCCAAGAACUCAACAAUUGGAAGCAUAAUAACGAGGACAGUUUAGUUCUUUACAUUGGAAAGCUUCAAUUGAUUUAAAACCCUUACAAUUUCAAUCAAACUAAACACACCCUUGAAAAGACAAUGUUCAUAAUAUGAAAGAAUAUACUUCAAUACAUGGACUACAACUAAGCUAUCCUCCAAGCAUGGAUUAAUACAUAAUUAAUUGUGCAAACAAAAGAAUAUAUAUAUAAUAUCUCACUCCCAUUUGCUCCUAAUGUGAUUAGUGUGUCUGAAACCCAAAGUUAGUACCAAGCUUCCAUCCAUUCUUUUCAAUACAAACCUCUCCCCCAACACAUAGCAACCAAAUUUCUUCCACCUUCCCAUACCCCCAAACUCCUCUACUAUCUUCACUCUCACUUUCCUCUCAUUCCCUCCAUUCCAUCCAAACCUUUGUUGCUCCCACUUCACCCUCUCUAAAACCGCUAAGCUCACCCCUACAGUGCUCUCUCCUCCAACUUUGUUAAAAACCCUAUACCACAUUACCCCAUUAGCCACAUCCUUCUCCUCAUUCACUGCUUCCACAUUAUUUCCAGCAAUGGUAACAAAUUCAUUUUCAACAGAAACAUCGACAACCACAGCAUUAUUUUCCUCACUUGCAUCACUGUCACAUGCAAAUAUUUGCUCCCAUCUUUGCUCGAGUGUCAUCUCAUAAUACCUUGUGCAGCUCAUUUGAUCUUUCAGUGUUAGUGAUCCUUCCUUAACAAACAUGAAGGGACAAUACCACUUCCCCACAACCACAGGCUUUGAGCCUGCACUCGAUACUUCAAAGUUGAAAUCGGGUAGGCGGGCACGUAGUGCAGAGUCUAGACCUGGUGCUUCAUCUAAAUGGAAGUCACGUGGAGUUGAGGUAUAUAUGUCCCACCCUAUUCUUGCAAGAAAUUUUGGAGGAAACUCAUCCGAAGCUAUGGCUUUGGCAACAAAACCACCAAUUUGGUUAAAUCUCCCUUUGCGUUGGACCUGAAAUUGCUGUCGUAUGUUAUUAUGAUUUAAGGGUUGUGGUGCUACAUCUCGAUCUGCUCGAACAUAAGUGUGGAAGCAGCAGGUUCCCAUGUCCUCCUCCUCUGGCGAACUGGUGUAUGCUUGUCUAGGAAGAACAAUUCAAGAAUAAAAAGUCAGCUCAUUAGAAAAAUUAAUGGUUAACUAUAAGAGUAACGCUAGGAAGACCGCAUUUAAAACCGUAUUAGUGACCAAUUGAUAAUUUACACACAGAAACAUGCUAUAUCUUGAGCCUCAUCUGUUUAAAAACCAAAAAAAUAAGUCAGUUUGAUCAUCCUUACCCCAUAUUAUCCCCGCGAGAUGAAAUUGCAUAAUAGCAAUUGGAUGCCAGAGGCUGGUUAAGGACUGGAAUGAGGGCAGUGUAGAAAUAUUAAACGGAUGUGUUCUCUCCUGCGCCUGAUGAAUAACGUAGCUUCAGAUUCUUAUUCUGAGGGAAAGGAAGGUCCUUGAGCUCAUGGCCUUUAAACAAUCCACAGCAAAUUGUAGGCUCUGAUUCUUCAUCUUGAAUAACCAAAAUACCGGAAUUUGGACCUUCCGGAGGUGGCAAAGAGAGCAUGGAAGGGUUCUUCUGGAACACAGAGAGAGGCCUUGUCACAUACAUUUUCUCUCUAAAUCUCUUUGCUCAGCUAUUUUUGUGUUGGAGUUUUGGGUACGAGGAUCAUAUGAACUUUGAGCCACUUAUAUAUGACAGAAGUUCUCAACUUAAUGUAGUCAAUUUGGACAAGUAAUGGGGAUUCAUUGGAUGCUAGUCAUGAUACAAAUCAAACUUUUCACUAUUAUUACUAUGAAUAGUCUUCUUUUGACAAAGACUAAUGUUAAGAAUCUGGAGAGCAUAGAUUGCUUUCGAGUUGAGAUAUUUUAUAUAACUUAUCUACAAGUAGUAUAGGGAUGAAGGUGACAUAUUACAUGCUCUAUAAGCUAAGAAGAAAUUGAGAAGAAUUUGACUCAGUUUUGAUUGAGUUUUAAUUUUAUCAUGUUUCUUUGGGAUCACCAAUAGGUUGAUUAAUGAUUAACCAAUUCAACUAAGAAUCAGUCCACUUUUAUGUUACUUCAGUCAAAGCCUUGAUAUGUAAGCCUUCUCAAUAUGAAGGAGGAUGUAAACAAAUUGGUGAAGUCUCAGAAAUUCAGAAUAUCCUUAUUCUGGUGUUUCUUGAUUCAAAAGUUAACACCUUCAUGAAUCAGAGAGCAACUUAGAAAGGUCUGUAAACAACAAGAAUUUUCAGAAAAGUCAGAUCUGCAAACCUUAUCAUUGAUUCAAGUGUUUGGAAUAACCCCCACAUAUAACAAAAAACUCAACAAAAUCAACAAAGCUGAAUAAAAAAAUGAUUUGUGAAAGAUUGGUGGUCACAAACUACAUAGAUGUACUAUAGUAGACUACGGUUAUAUAUUUCAAACCAUGUCAUAUAUACAGAUUUUUCCCACACUAAAUAUUAAAAGUUUGUCAUUCCCAUUUGCAACUGAUCUGGUGAGUGUGCUUGAAAUCAUAUGUCAAUAGUGCUAAGCUUCCAUCCAUUCUCUUCAACACAAACCUCUCCACCAACACAUAACAAGCAAAUCUAUUCCAACCACCAAUUCCUCCAAACUUUUCACUUCUCUCCACUCUCACUUUUCUUUUCUCCCCAUCAACCCAUCCAACUCUUUCUUGCUCCCAUUUCAUUCUCUCCACAAUUUUCAUGCUCAACCCUACUCUCCUUUCUCCUCCCGCCCCAUCAGAACUCUUAAACCACAUGAAACCAUCAUCGGCGACAUUAAAUCUGUCAAGAUUAUCUGAAAGUGCUUCACUUCCAGCAAUAAAAACCGCCUCUCUUUGCACAAAUGUAUCCACAAACACAGCAUUAGGAUUGCUGCUUGUUCCCUCAUUGUACUUGUCUAAAAUUCUCUCCCAUCUUUGCUCCAGUCUCAUUUCAUAGAACAUGCAUUGCUUCAUUUGGUGCUUCAACUUCAUUCCCCCUUCCUUGAUAAACAAGAAAGGACAGUACCACUUGCCAACUACCAUAGCCUCAGAACAAUCUUUGGACAAUGGAAAGUCGAAUCCAGGGAGGGCUGAUCGCUUAGAAGCGUCGAGUCCUAGAGCUUCACCUAGUUGGUAAUGAUGGGAUGUGCUCAUAGUGGCCGGCCAACCUUUUCUCCUCAAAAAAUAAGGAGGAACGCCGUCUGAAGCAACAGCUUUUGGCAGUAAAGUAACCGCGGUGCUUCAUUGGAAUUAUCUCAAUUUGUUGAUACAUGUCUGAUGGAUCCAAUGGCUUUGGUUUUACAUCUUGAACAGUUUUGCCACAACAGCAAUCUGUCAUGUCCUCUUCCUUUGAAUUUGUGUACACUUUCCUGCAGAUAAAUUUGUGACCAUUAUUAUAAAAGAAUAUUAUGUUCAUAUAUGGACAUCAAUAUGAAAAGCAUUAUAUUUAUACCCUUUGUGUUUCCCAUGCCGGGGUAUCACAUAGUAUGUACUGGCAGACAAAGGCUUAUCAAGAACUGGAAUGAAGGCAACAUAAAUAUGAAUAUCUUUGGAAUGUGAAAUUAUGAUAUCCUUGUUCUGAGGGAAAGGCAAGGCUUUCACCUCAGGAUCUUUGCAGCAUCCAAAACACAUAGUCUCAUCUGAUUCUUGAUCGUGGAGUACAAGAUAACCUGAAUUUGGACCUUCCGGUGUUGGUAGUGAUAGUGAAUCAGGAAACCUUCUACACAUAGACAGAGGCCUAGUUACAUACAUGACUGUUUAGUCUGUUGUUUUUUUUUCUCCAAAAGAUUGUGGAAGAAGAUAGUGGAUAGAAAUGGGAGGCUACUGAAUCUCUAUAUAUUAAGCGGAUAGAGGGACUACUGUUCCCUCCCCAUCUUGCCCCUCAUGUUGUGUUUUUUUAACGUCCAGCCCAUCCACACUGAAUUCACUCUUCUUUUAUCCUUGGUUGUUAUCUUCUUCUCUAUUGUUUUUUUAUUUUUUUUAGAAUUUUCUAAUCGACAGAUGGUUCCGGCUAUUUUCCCACCAUGAAGCGUCGUCGGGACGACCGAUCAGGUCGGAACCGAAGGCCCAAGCAUCAGCUUUAAGGCCGUCAUCCUGCCCAAAGCCGCCUUCGAAAUAGCUGAUAUCAUACUUGUAUGUAAGUCUCAUUUUCACUUUGGUUAGAAAGAAUAGCCGUAGGAAUAUCCAAAAAUUGUGCAACUACUGAAGCAAAUUUUAGUGUGAAAUUCAGGUGUUACCAUAUAAUUUUGUAUCUUUAAAUUUUGCUGGCUGCAUGUGUCUCUUUGUCUAUGAGAGGAUGGAUAUUUGUCUUAUUUUUGAACAGGUACUUCACAUAUUUGAUUUUGUGGGCUUCUAGGUUUUAUGAGGUUAUUGUGAUUGAGAUUAACUUAAGAGCUGUAUGAUGAUCUAUUUUGUUGAAUGGUAUUAUUAAUUAUAGAGGAUAUGUGUUUUGACCAAAUCAAUUAAUUGAGAUUGAGGUUCGGUAUCUACAAACUCAGGAAACUAGAUUGUUAUUCCCAAUUUUGUCUUUUUUUUUGUGUGUGUGUGUGUGUGCAGAAGCUUGAGGAUCAUGUGACCAUUAUAAGCUCAAAAGAUAGUGAUAAUGGAAUAACUGAUGCAGAGAAUGCACGGCAGCUACGGUUGGCUUAAUUUUGAAGGUGAUAAGCCAUUUUAGUUUUCGUUAUCAAGUUGUUAUGCUACAAUUCACAGUAUGAAAUCACAAUUGUAAAAUAUGCUUCUGGAUAAUAAUUAUUGAACUUGAAUUAUCGCAUUUUUUAUGCUACAGAAGACUGCAAACAACUUAUUGGAAUAGAAAAUAAAGGUUCUCCAUUCCUUUAAAACAUACGGUAGAACUUCGAAGCAUGCCGAUGCAUGCAGGUGUGUUCUUAAAUAUAUUCUACCUAAUACUUUUACUUCAUAUGGUAGUUUGAAGUCAUUACAUCAUUUAGAUUUAGAUUACAAUUCUCCUCUUUUCCUCUUUAUUUGCCUCUGAUGUUCGUAUCUGUUCAAUUCCUUCUAUCAUCAAGGUGACUCACUAAAUGGACCUUUUGUUUCAUAACAAAAUCCUAUUAAAACAAUCUCAAAUGUUCAAUCAUCUGUUACUAACUACUAUACAAAUCUUAAUUUUUAACUUUCAGAAUUGCAACAAGAAAAGUAAUGGCUAAACCCAAGCAAGACUCUUGCGGAAAGAGUAAGCAUUGAAACCCUUAUUUUUUUAAUUUUUUUACUUUCAACUAGAUAUACCUUAGUUUUUCAUUAUAGCCUAUUCUCUGAAUUUUGAUGUUAAAUUGACACAAGGGUAGAAAGAAAAAGCAGGAACAAAUCCAAACAAGACUGGAAUAGGCACACAUGAUCCCUUUUUUCAAUUAUGGUGACAUUAAAUUGCUAGCAGCUCGAUUAACACAGAUGUUGUUAAUCUAGCUUUCUAACUUAAUGGCUCCGGAAUUUAUUGAGAUCAUUAUAAGCUCUUCUUCCCAAUUGAUUUUAUGUGGUGGAAUAGCUGCCCGCUGAAAUUAGAAAUGAGGGUAGGAAUAUGUGCCUAAUAACCUAACCCUUCGCUCAUUAGUCAACAAUUUGCCUUGAGUAAGCAACCAGGUAAAGGUUUUUCACUUAGGUGGUAGUACUUUAAUACUGAUAAUCCCAUAAGGUACUUAUGAUACUCUAUAAGUAAACCUUUGGCAGCUUUUGUUUAGUGGGUGACCAAAGAGCUUGAAAAUUUAGCUUCAGAUGAUGAACUUGAGGAAGAGAUUGGUUGACUAUGGUUGUGUUUGAUUGCUCUAAGUUUUGGAAUGCAAACAAGGUUGCAAAUACAUGGAGAAAUUUUGUAACUGAGAUUUUAAAUGUAAAUGCUUAAUGCUCAAUGGGUUGCAUUUGCUUAAUGCUACUAGAUUUUCCUUUUCUUUUGAUUGUUUUGUAAUCUGUAAUCUAUACUUUGAAGGUUCUUAUACACGUUCAUGUGAAUUAUUGUCUAUUUUAAUAUGAGUUUGUGAGUGUUGUUAUGAUAUCAGACCGGAAAAUAAAUUCUCAAAGUUGUAUCUAAAACAACAGUUAAUACAUGGCCGCGUGCUGGAAGGCUAGUAUAAAUUGGCUGGAUGAUUUUCUUGAUUACAUAUAGUAGUAUCUCUUUGUGUAGAAUUCAUUCAUGAACUCAAUCAAACACUGAGGUUCAUAGUUUUCGUGCAUUGUCCUGUAAAAUUGUAUUAAUUCUCUAAGCUGACAGCUAUUAUUUGUUCAUCAUGCCAUAAUCCUCUACUGAUCAACAAGUCAUCCGUCUGACUUUCGGUUUGUGGUUACCAAGGGCCAAGUAUAAAACUAAAACAAUUUAAAGUCCUUAAUUUAGACUGUAACAAUCAAAUUAUCAAAUCAAAUUCUACCGAUACUUUAAGAAAGAAGCUAGUCAGAGUUUGUAGCAAAUGCAAGGAAGGUUCAUACUGUUCAAUCUCUCUAUGGUGGAAAAGUUUUCAAGUUUAAACUCAUUCUUUUGAGAAAAAAAAAAAAUGAAUGUUAACACUUUCUGACAAGGGAAAUACUUCAAUACAUGAAUUUGAACUACAGUAUAUGUAUAUGCUAUAUAUUUACAUAAGCAUUGCUGAAUUUCAGUUACAGUACAAAAUGGAUUUUGUUUCACACCCAUUUGCUCCUAAUGUGAUUAGUGUGUCUGAAACCAUAACUUAGUACCAAUCUUCCAUCCAUUCUUUUCAACACAAACCUCUCCCCCAACACAUAGCAAUCAAAUUUCUUCCACCUUCCCAUACCCCCAAACUCCUCUACUUUCUUCACACUCACUUUCCUGUCAUUCCCUCCAUUCCAUCCAAACCUUUGUUGCUCCCACUUCACCCUCUCUAAAACCGCUAAGCUCACCCCUACAGUGCUCUCUCCUCCAACUUUGUUAAAAACCCUAUACCACAUUACCCCAUUAGCCACAUCCUUCUCCUCAUUCACUGCUUCCACAUUAUUUCCAGCAAUGGUAACAAAUUCAUUUUCAACAGAAACAUCGACAACCACAGCAUUAUUUUCCUCACUUGCAUCACUGUCACAUGCAAAUAUUUGCUCCCAUCUUUGCUCGAGUGUCAUCUCAUAAUACCUUGUGCAGCUCAUUUGAUCUUUCAGUGUUAGUGAUCCUUCCUUAACAAACAUGAAGGGACAGUACCACUUCCCCACAACUACAGGCUUUGAGCUUGUAUUCGAUACUUCAAAGUUGAAAUCCGGUAGGCGGGCACGUAGUGCAGAGUCUAGACCUGGUGCUUCAUCUAAAUGGAAGUCACGUGGAGUUGAGGUAUAUAUCUCCCACCCUUUUCUUCCAAGAAACUUUGGAGGAAACUCAUCCGAAGCUAUGGCUUUGGCAACAAAACCACCACAUUGGUUAAAUCUCCCCUUGCGUUGGAUCUGAAAUUGCUGUCGUAUGUUACUAGGAUUUAAGGGUUGUGGUGGUAAAUCUCGGACAUAGGUGCAGAAGCAGCAGGUUCCCAAAUCCUCCUCUGUCGAACUGGUGUAUGCUUGUCUAGAAAGACAAUGCAAAAAAUAAAAAUGUCAGUUCAUUAAAAAAAUUGGUGAACUAUAAGAGUAACGCUAAGAGGAUCACAUUUUAAGACUGCAUUAGUGACGAGUUGAUAAUUUACACAUGCUGCAAAAUGUGAUCUCUAUAGCAUUAUCUGUUUAUAAACCAUAAAACCAAGUACAGUUUGAGAUAACUUUCAUACCCCAUAUGAUUUCCGCGCGAUGAAAUUGCAUAAUAGCAAUUGGAUGCCAGAGGCUGGUUAACGACUGGAAUGAAGGCUGUGUAGAAAUAUGAAACGUGUGUGCUCUCUCCUGUGCUUGUGGAAUACCGCAGCUUCAGAUUCUUGUUCUGAGGGAAAGGGAGGUCUUUGAGCUCAUGACCUUUAAACAAUCCAAAGCAAAUUGUAGGCUCUGAUUCUUCAUCUUGUAUAACCAAAAUACCGGAAUUCGGACCCUCUGGAGGUGACAAAGAGAGCAUGGAAGGGUUCUUCUGGUACAUCGAAAGAGGCCUUGUCACAUACAUUUUCUCUCUAAAUCUCUUUGCUCAGCUAUUUUUGUGUUGUACUUUUGGGUAGGAGGAUCAAAUGAACUUUGAGCUACUUAUAUAUGAUGAAGUUCUCAACUUAACGUAGACAAUUUGGACAAGUAAUGGUGAUUCAUUGGAAGCUACAAAUCAAACUUUUUACAAUAUUAUUAAGAAUCGUUUUCUUUUGACAAAGACUAUUGUUAAGAAUCUGGAGAACAUAGAUUGGUUUAGUGUUGAGAUAAUUUAUUUAACUUAUCUACAAGUAGUAUAGAGAUGAAGGUGGAUGCAUCUGCAGGUUCACAUGUGACAUGAGAAUUUACCUUAUAUUUGAUUGAGUUUUAUGUUACUUCAGGCCAUCUGGAAAGUCAAUCCACUGAAAUGGUCAAAGCCUUGAUAUGUAAGCCUUCAGGUACAUAUGAAGGAAGAUCUGGUGUAGACAAAUUGGUCAAGUCUCAGAAAUUCAGAAUAUCCUUAUUCUGGUGUUUCUUGAUUCAAAAGUCUACAAGCAAAGAGCAACUUAGAAAGGUCUGUAAACAAAAAGAAUUUUCGGAAAAGUCUGAUUUGCAGAACUUAUCAUUGAUUCAGGUUUGUGGAAUAAGCCCACAUAUAACAGAACACUGAACAAAUCAACAAAGCUGGAUUAGAAAAUGGUUUGUGAAAUAUUGAUGGUCAAAAACUACAUAGAUGUGUACUAUACUAGACUACAGAUAUUUCGAAUCAUAUCCUAUAUACAGAUUUUAACCAAGAAUCCGGAUACAAUAUUAUGAUUUAUUCCACCCUAAAUAUUACAAAUUUGUCAUUCCCAUUUGCACCUGAUCUGGUGAGUGUUCUUGAAAUCAUAUGUCAAUAGUGAAAUGGUCAGAGCCUUGACUUAUAAGUUUUUAGGAACAUACCAGGAAGAAAGUAGACAGACUCGUCAAAUAUCAGAAUUUCCCUAAACUGGUGUUUCUUGUGUCAAAAGUUUACAGUUUCAUGAAUCUGAUAGUUGCUCAGAAGUUCCAUGAGCAAGAAAAAAUGAUCACAAAUUUGCAAAAUUAUCAUCGAUCUCUCGAUUCAAAUCGGUUAAUUAAACAAAUACAGAAGCAACUUUCCCAGAUAAGAAUUGUACCAAAUGACAAGCUACAUGAUGUUCAUUCCCAUUUACACUUAAUCUGAUGAGUAUGCUUGAACUCAUGGCUAAUUAACAAGCUCCCAUUCAUUCUUUUCAACACAAACUUCUCAACCAAUACAAAACAACCAAACUUCUUCCACUGACCAAUCCCUCCAUAUUCCUCAACUCUCUUCACUCUCACUUUGCCUUCAUCAUCUCCCCCAACCCACCCAACUCUUUCUUGCUCCCACUUCAUCCUCUCAACAAUUGCAAAGCUCAACCCAACUCUUGUUUCUUCACCCACAUUGUUGACACUCUUAAACCACACUACCCCAUCAUCUUCCACAUGUCUCUCAUCACACACACCUUCCCUCCCUCCUACCACAACCACAACCACCUUACUUUGCACAACAGCAUCCACAUUUACAGCAUUGCCUGUAUCAUGUUCCUCAAUACUCUCCUUCACAAAUAUCUGUUCCCAUCUCUGCUCAAGUGUCAUCUGAUAAUACAUUGUCUUGAAAGGUGUGACAUCCUUGACAAACAUGAAUGGACAAUACCACUUCCCUACAACCAGAUUAUUCAAUGGGAAAUCAAAACCAGGAAGCUGGGCUCGGAGAGUCGUGUCUAGCCCUGGUGCAUCACCUAGUUUGAACUCGUUAGCCGUUGAGCAAGUGAGUUUCCACCCUCUUCUCCACAAUGCAUCUGGGGGACAACCAUCUUUAGCCAUACAAGUAGCCACAAAGCCACCAGAAAUGUUCACAAUUUUUCUGUGAAGAUCAAUCUGAUAUUGCUGGUACAGGUUUUUGUGAUCAAAACGUUGCGGCUUUACAUCAUUAGGACAGCUGCUGAAGCAACAUGUGUCCAUGUCUGUUUCAUCUUCUUUUGAGCUUGUGUACCCUUCCCUGCAAAGAGACACGAAAGCCUCGCGGUUCAAAUUCACAAUCUAACAACAUAACAUAACAUAUAUAACUUUCGCAGUUUCUAACAUGUAUAAUAAUAUUUAAGUAUCAAUUGAUAAUAUGCAUGCAUACCCUCUAUCCUUCCCAAAUGGAUAUAUUGCAUAGUACUGAUUGGAAGACAGUGGCUGAUCGAGAACUGGAAUGAAUAGAACUUUGAAAAAAUGAAGUUCUCUUCCUGGAUAAAAUCCUUGUGCAUAGUAAAGCUCUAGACUUUUGUUCUGAGGGAGAGGCAGGUCUUGAAUCAUAUCACUCUUGAACAAAUUCAUACAGCAUCUGGGUUCUUCAUCUUGGAUAACAAGAAUACCAGAGUUUGGACCUUCAGGAGGAGGCAAUGAAAGAUCAGCAGGAUACUUUUUGUACCAUGAGAGAGGCCUUGUCACAUACAUUAUGCCACAGAUUCCUCUCCAAAGAAUGAAAAAAUCUAAUGCUUUCUGGUCUUGGAGGAUCUCAAGCUCUUAAUGCUCAUGAUCAAUAUAGUCUUACAUUUUCAGGAAGUUGAAGUAGUCGGUAGCAGCUCUAGUUGACUAUUGUUGAAAUUAGGUGAUCAAUAAAUUUGCAUUUGGCCUACAGCUGAUAUUGGGGAUAAGAUGCUGAUAUUGGGGAUAAGAUGAUAAGAUGCUGAUAUUGGGGAUAAGAUGCUGAUAAAUAUGUGACUGUGACUUGUGAAGUGAUGACUUGUUCAAUGUUCACUGGAGGCCAAGUCCCUUAUGGAUUGGAAUGCAUAUGAUGUUGAAAUGGUUUCAAGUUCAAAAGAAAUAUCAACAACCUGAGUAAUGGACUGAUGGCUAGGGUCCAGGGAAGAGGAUAAACCCAAAAGUUGUAGCAUGUAUCAAAGACAAUAAUAUCACAUGUAAGGAAUAUAGUUCAAGAUCUACAAGACUUGCUUGCAAAGCAAAGCCCUACAUUCCUACAAAACCCUCUUUAAGUGAAAAUGAAGCAUCACCUAAAGUCCUGUACUCAAAAUUUGUAGCUAGCAGAAAAAGAUGAAACCCUCUCCUUUCUUAGGCCUCCUAGAGUAGCAAAUCCCAUCUAUUAGAUCUUAUAUUCUUUUCUGAAAGAUCUUGUCUUUGGCUACUACCCUUUAAUUAAUUUUAUUGAUAUUGGGGAAAAAGAAAAGAAGGGUUUUGCUCUUUUCUAACUUUAAAACCUCAGACAUAUAUGCAUAGGGUAAUUGCAUUUAAAAAAUGCUAAUGUGAUUCUGUCCUUUUGGCCCUAACAGGUUUAGCCCUGUAUGCAUUCGGAACAGCGCCCUUCAUGUAACUAGUGAGUGACAUACAUAAGAAUCAUACAGUUUGAACUCUAUAUGCAAAAUAAAAUGACAUCAUUUUCUGAGCAAAAUUAUUAUGAUCCUCAUUCCUCAGCACAAUGCUGUUUGCACAAUCAUACCCUAAGCAAAACACUUGAACUCUAUGCAAACAUCCCAGUUAGUAUGAGCUAUUUUGUUUAACAUUUACUAACAGCAACAUAAAUACAAAGAGGAGAGAAACUAGAGAUGCAGUGAUUUGAAUGUGGUAACUAGUGACUAACUACAAAUGCGAAUUAAGACAAGAAAUAACAGACAGAAGAUUUCUGUAAAGCUGAAGAACAGAGAAAUUUGGUCACAUUUUGGCCCAGCAUUUUUCUCAGGUUUUGAACAUCAUAUCUUCUUCAUCUUUCUUCCUCCUAGUACUUGAUCCCCAGCUUGGAUGAUGCCUGAAAAUCCAUUUCCAACCACCCUUCAAGCUUUUCCUUCCCCUCUUUAUCCCUCUCUCAUUCACUGUAAUUCUACAAGAACCACUAUGACUGAAAAUCCCAUCCCCAAAUUGAGCUGGACCAUAUUCAUGUGCCACAAAGUCACUACCCCUCAUGCUUCCGAACAAGGAUUCCGAACCUGUCAAGCUUCCCAUCUUCAAAUCUGGCUUGGAUUCUGUUGAGUAAUCAAGCUGCAAGUCAAUAAACCUUGACUCAUCCAACCUACUAAAAUCACUCUCUUUGAGUGAGAAAACUCUCUUGGUUGCUCCACUAAACUCAUUCUUCUUCACAUUACCAACACCUAAUUCAGAAACCAAGACUUCAUCUUUCUUUUCACCAUCAAAACCACUCUUCCUUCCUUCACUAAAACCACUCUUUCUCCCUUCACUAAAACCACUCUUUCUCCCUUCACUAAAACCACUCUUCCUCCCUUCACUAAAACCACUUUUUCUUCCUUCACUAAACCCACUCUUUCUUCCAGAAUCCAAAACCAUACCAGCAGUGACACUAGAACUCCUUGCAGCUGAGAUUGAACUCCUAGCCCCAGAAACCAUCAAAUGAUCACCACCAUCCUCUGACUCAAACAAACUACCACCUCUAAAACUACAAAGAGACCUAGACCUUGACACACCCACAUGAUCAACCAACCACAUCUCACUUUUCUCAUCAAACCCACCAACACUUUUGUUCCCACAAUCCUUCUCUGUCCUCUUCUUCCUAAACAACCUCCCAAAUCUCCAAAACCCACUUCUCUUGAUCUCAGCACAGCUGCUGCUGCUCCUCCUCAGCACCACAGCCUCCUCUUUCUCUUGUGGUUUAGUCUUCUGCUUCACUAAAGCCUCAUUCUUCUCAUUCUCAAUCAGAAAAGAGACUCUCCCAACACUCCCUACCUCCCCAGUGCAUGAGUUUCGAUUCGAUGAGGAUGAGAUCUCAGAACAAGAACAAGAAGAGAGACGCUGCUCACCGCAAUCUGAACACACUAGUAAAGCUAGGCGCUCUUUCAGACAAUAAGCACAUAUUCCAAUGGAGGAAGAAUUGGGGUGUUUGUUGCAUGGCAUUUCAGAUGAAGAACAAUAGUACUCCAUGUCAAAGUUGUGAGAUGACUCCACAGCUUUGCCUCUAUCUCUCAUGGCUUGAAAGAAUGAAUGAAAGCUUGAAUCUUGAAGAUCAAGUUUCAAGUAAAAAAGGGUCUGUGAGAGAAUGAAAAUGGAUCGAAGCUGAGAUUUUUAAGAUCAAAUGCCAGCUCCAAAAGGCCUUGUGGGCUAUAAAAUGAAAGGCUCAACACAAUGUAAUCACUUUGGAGAACCGUGAAAGAAUUGGGUUAGAUGAUUGAGUAAAGUAAAGAGAUUUUCUUUGGGAAUGAAUUCAAGUAUUAAGAUUUAGAGGGUGAUUGAAGGAUGGCUGAAUUGAUAGAUGAAAGGAAGGCGUCAACUUUACGUUUGCUUUACAGCCAACAGUAUAAGCAAGGAAGAAAAAAAAGAGCGAGUGAUGCAAGAAAAGCACUAAUUCCCGCAGGCAUUAUUGUGUAGGGAAGUGAAUGUCACAGCAAGUUUGAGUAAAAUCAAUGAACAGAACCAAAGAGAAACCUCCAUAAAUCUAUUACACUGGUUCUGUGUGCAUUUGUACACCAUAACAAAGCAAUAUCCGACCCAGUGACCCACCGAACCAAACCCACAUAGUUCCCUACUCCCCACUCAAGAAGAAAAGUCAUUACAUCAUCUGGUCUAUAUCCCAUCAGUCUUUCAUCUGUUUUGUCAACUUCAUUUCUGCCGUCCAAGAUUUCCUUACUUCCCUCUCCUUUUUCUUUUUCCUCAUGUCCUUGCUUUUGAUGCCAAGUUCACUUUAACUUGAAAAACAUUUGCCACUUCUUUCCUUCUUGUUCCUCAAACAUAAGAAAUUAAUAUGACACAUUACCGCAAAUAUUACAAACUCGGACACUUGAUAUAUCUUUUUUUGGUGGAUUGAAAUGAGUUUCACAAACUUAUCUUUGAAAAUGAAUUGACGAUAUAUUAAGUUUUUGUGGCAAUUCAUCGAACAUUUCUCUUAUUCCGACAUGCGACAUCAAAAAGGGCAUAAAAAAGGUAAUGAAACUCACAUGGUGUUAUCGUUAAGCUAAGGGGUGGCAAGAGUGAAGCAGACAUUGCGUUUGUCCAUUUCCCUUUGACAUUCUACCAUCAUUCAUGGAGACACAAUCUAAUACCAUGUCGUUUUCUUGUUCUAUAUAGAGGCACGUGUCCCACCGACAGUUAAAUUUCAUGUUGUUUGACCCUUCCCAACUGGGAAAUGGACGAUGCUAAUGUGUUUCAGGCUGCCACUGACCCAGUAACCACCAUUUGAUGUGUCUGCAUCGUCAUUUCUAGGAAGAUCUGGAGUGAGCAUUUGAAUCGAGCUCGAAACUCAUGGUUAGGCUGCUAUCAGUGCCUCUCAAAGUCGCAAAGCUGGCUUAGGACAACAAUGAUGAUGGUUUUCGCAUCUGUCGCAGUGUGUGUAGUAGGGGCCGGGCUUUUUAUUUGAUAAAUCAGAUCGGAGCUUUCGACGUACCGUGAAGACUCUGAGUUUGUAGUGAUUCUCGUCGUUUCUCUAUAUUCCAUAACAUGAAUGAAGUUAUCGACCUGAUGUAAACUCACCCACAUUAUUAUUCAUCAUCACAAAUCUUACACUUGGUAUCACACCAUUUGAUCACAUUAUGGUGAUGUUUCUAGAAUGACUCUGUCUCGUCUCUAUCUCAAUUCUCAAGUUACCAAUAACUAGAAAGAGCUUUCGUUCAAUAUAUAGGUCGGACUGCUAAAUUACAAGAGCUAGGUAUACAACUGUUACAAGAAACAAAGAUGCAUUUGUUUAUUUUUAUGAAAACAAUACUAUGUAUAUUGAUGCCUCUCACAUUAUGAUCGCGAAGCUAUAACUAGAACAAUAAUGCUGCUGAGUGGUUUGCAUCCGUCACAGUAAGUGUGACAUGUAUGCUUCAUCAAACAAACAAACAAACAAAAGCAAAAGCAGCAAAAAUCACAUCGGAGCUUUUGACCUGCCGUGUAGGCUUGGCUCAGUUUGUACUGUUUCUAUGUAAGUUUGCAGUGAUUCUCAUUCCAGUUCCUUCAUAACUUGCAUGAAUUAAGGGACCCCUUCUUUUCUGUUGAUGAAAACUCACAUUCAUUACUGAUGAUCACAACUCUUUAGCACUAGUCAUCACACCAACGGAUCACCAAGUGCCAUCCAUGCAGCUCCAUUCACUCGUCUGGUCAUAUUUUCCCACUUCCAGCUUCAUGAACUUGAUUUUCAUGUUCUGUUCGAGAGGUUUCGGUGUUUGUUCCCCUGUCGACCUCAUCUUCUUAUGUUUUCGUUUUCAUUUUGAGUAUGAAAUUAGAAAGAAAAUGGUACGCAGCAGUACAGUACCAGAAGGCACGUCUGGAUAGAGACCAUAAUAGCAAGGUUGGCACGCCCAACGCAUGCGGAUCCUGAUGGUGUGUAUAGUUGAGGCACACAAUUAUUUGGUGAAAUAAUGUUUUGUUUAAUGUAAUGUGGGAUUAAACAAUGGUGGAAGUGUGGUGAUCAUUGUGUUUCCAUUGCUAUGAGCUCGUUAAUUAUUUUGUUGCUUUGCAAUUCAUUGGGUUUAAAAACGUUAUUGGGAUCGAAAGGUUAACACUAAUUAUAUGGCUGUACCACAUUGAGUGAUCUGAGAAAGAAGGAGAAGAAGAAGGGGGUAGGGCACUGUGGCCUAGGACUUUAAAUUUUGAUUUGAAAGUGUACAGUGCUAAUGAUUGAGUGCAAGUUUAGCUGAAGAGAUGAUAUUAUUAUGAAGUGAACACGCUUGCUGUCUGACAUGCACUUUCUUUGGGCUGUCAGUGACUCUGUGCCAUGUGCCUCCACCUAAGGCUUUCUAAUCAUUCACAUCAUUUGUUGGGUACAAGUUUUGGUGACCUCAUUGAAUCAAAAAAAAAGAAAAAAGGCUUGAUUAGAAAAUAAAAAGGAUGAAGCAGUAGGGUACCUCAAAGACUAUUUAUGUCCGGUAGUUAAUCUCUCGGCGUAUCUGAAAUGCUCCGGUUAAGCAUUAUAAUAUAAUGUCUAGUCAUCUUAAAAUCUUCAAAAAUCGGUUAGAGAGAGCACAUCCAACUAGACAAUAAAACUAUUAUGUCACAUGUAAUGGUUAAAGAUGAGACACUUUGUUAUGUUAAUUAAGAGUUGCAUGUUUAUACAAAAUCAUAAGAAUCUUUACUAAUCUCAUUUAAAGAACAUGCAUGCUCGCUUGUUCAGGUCAAUUGUGAUUAACGAAGAUUCAUCAUAUAGUUUCUAUAAUAUAUGUCGUUCGUUUGUUGCAUAGGUGAAGCUAUGCACAUGCCAAAAGUGGCCAUGGCACCCCCCAAGCUUUUUCUUCUACAUGUAUUUUAUCAUUUGAAACUAGUUAAUUCACUUCAUACUUGUGAUCAUCUUACACAUUGGCACCCCUCAAUCCUAAAGUUUGGCUCUGCCAUUGUUAUUAACUCACGCGUAGUGAAACUAUUUUAUUGCAUAACUAUACCACCCUAUGAUGGUGGGCAGAUAAUGUAGUUUCCUGCCUUGUAGGUUGUUCUCGUUCAUCGUUUCUCCAUUGCAGGUAAGAAAAAUGUGUAUAGACCAAACGCAACAAAGAAGAAAAGAGAGCAAGAAAUAUGUCGCAACUUCUCUAGCAAAGAACAUCAGACCCAAGACCAAGCAAGGCCCAACAACCCCAUAGCCUAUUAGCCCAAUCCACCACCAGUCCUCUCCCAUCCCUGACCUCUCUCUCACUUCUCUGAGAGAGCUCCCAUGAUUCCACUGCAAAUUCACCACCUCACUCCACCCUACUUGCCAAUUUCCCAAACUACCCCUCAUCUCCUCUCUCCCUUCUCCCAAAGACUCCAACUUUCCUCCAAACCCAACCUCCUCACCUUCCCCCCAAUUCCACUCCCAAAACCCACCUCCAAGCUUUUAAGGGCUUCACAAAGUCAGUCUCUUUUCUUCGGAAAUGAGGAGGACACCACCGGAAUUUCAUCUGGUCUCGACGACUUGUCCCCAAACGGCGUCGUUUACCGGAAAACACUUGCAUUGGUUGAGUGCUCCAUGUUUGCUGCUCUUACUGGGUUGGUCUAUUUCCUCAGCAAUUCUCUCGGAAUUGAGGUUUGUUGUGUCCUAUUCAAUUCUGGGUUCUUCUUAGAUUUUCCAAUUAACCCAAAUUAACUAACAAGUUAUAGUCUUUAUAUGGAUGAUGUUGGUUUCAGUAUUUCAUUGAAGUUUAUGAGAGUUCUUUGUUUUAAGCUUUACUCGGUUAACCCAAAUUAACUAACAAGCUCUCGUUCAGUUAUAUAUCUUGUUAGGCACAUCAGUUAAGUUUUUGUUGUCCCAUUUGAACAUUGAUAUGUUCAUGAAAUAUUCAACUGGGAUUCGAUCCACUCGAUGUUUGCUCUGACUUUUGGUCUAAAUUGUCAUACUGAUAUCUGGAGUAAAGUUAUUCACUCGUUUUUCUUACUAUCUCAGCAAUAGGGAAAAGUUACAGCUCUCUUGUAGCUAUUGAUAACUAGUAGUGAGGAUGUGUGAUCUUUGCUAUUUUGCCCUUGCUGAUGUUGUAACACCGUUGUAGGCUGAUAGUACCAAUUCCAAAGGCACCACCAUUUGAUGCUUGGACUUUGGAGUAGAAAACAGGUUUUUGUUUGAUUUUUUUAGCGUAGGUAUAAUCAUUUUCUCAGUUUGGAAUUAGAAAAGAGGUUUUUGAACUUUUCAUGUCCCUGUUUCAUUAAGAUUCUCGUCAAGAAUGAGAUACUCAUUUCGGACAAUCUUGAAGUUUUGAACUGUAAAUAUGUCUGUUUCACAACAAAAGACUAGCUAUUAAUCAACAAUCUAAUAAUAUGUGAUCACACAAGUAAGUUCGGGAAUUUAACACAGAUUGAUCAUUAGAUGAUAAGACUAACUGCAGAUUUCGAAUAAGAAAGUUGGAUCAGUCCCAAAAUUGAAACAAUUGCAGCGAAACAGAUUUCACACACAAGCUCUAAGCUUUAUGGAAGUUAGUUUCAGUAUUUCAUUGUAAGUUAUGAGAGUGAUUUGUUUUAAACUUUGCUUGGUUAGAAUGGGAUUAAAGAAUACACUUUAUUGGAUAUUAAUGCACUGGUUUACUAAUUUGAUGUGGAAUUUUUUUAUGGUUAGUUGGAUAUGUGCAUUUGGUUCAAUGAAGUUUUUUUUGGGUGCAGAAUUACUUUGGUUGCUUCUUUUCGCUGCCAAUAGUGAUCACCUCCAUGAGAUGGGGCGUCGCAGCUGGAAGGAAAACUAUGGUUUUGUAAUCAUACCUUUGGGAUUGAUAUGUUUGCUUUGUAAAAUUUUGCAGUAAUGUUGAUGAACUUUUGUCUUUGUAGGUGGCAACGACUAUGCUGUUACUUGUCUUGUCUGGUCCGCUGAAAGCCUUAACCUAUCUGGUGAGCGUGCUAUCUAUUUCGUUUUGUGCUUGUUUCUUUGAAUUUGAACUAGCAUGUAAAGCAAUUGUUUGGUUCUUCAUGUUCAAACUCGUUGUCUCUUUGUUCUUCAAAUUUUCACUGUACUUAGAAAUAAUUGUUUGUUUAUAUCAUACUCGUGAAAACUAUAUUGGACUUGUAUGUCCAUUGUGGUUGACCAGUAAUUGGCUAGCCGGUUGGCCAUAUUUAACUCAACGGGAACUAAUGUCAACUGGCCAACUCAUGAUUAAAUUACCUGGUGCUGAUCCUUCACUUUAGAAAAUGUUUCUAUUUCAAAUUAUUUAGUAUAAUUUAUGAAAUCUUUACAGUUGACCUUGUUGAUUGAUUAUUGACUUGCUUAGUAGAUGUCUCUCUUGUGCAGCUUAAGCAUGGACUAGUUGGCUUCACAAUGGGAAGUUUGUGGAGGUAUGAAGUUGUUCACAUUAUUCUAAAACUGUGGUUUUGGAAUUCUCUUUUGAAAUCUAAAGUUUAUGAUAUAAGUCAUGCUGCUCAAUGGUUUUAACUUUUAUUUUUGCAUCUUCUCAGGUCGGGAGCAAAUUGGACUACUUCCGUUUUGUUGUGUGCAAUUGUAAUGUUUUCUCCUUGCUGCUAUGAAUUCAUUACAUAUGUUGAAGCAAUAUUUCUCGUCUCUAAUUCUAUAAUUAAAAUGUUUGAAAUGGCAAAAUUAUUUUAUAUGCAGGUUCGAGCAUUGGGUUCUGUAGGCUAUGUUUUGAUCACUUCUUUCUUGAUAAGAGAAAACAUAUUUGCUCUGGUAAUACUUUCUCCUAUGAUUUGCUUGAUACAGUAUAUCAAGAUUCAAGUUACAUUUUCUAAUCUACCCAUUUUGCUUGCAGAUCACCAUAAACAUUCAUGCUUCUCUAACAUUCAUCUUCACAGCAGCGGGCAUCUAUACAGUUCCAUCGAUGGAGGCGAUAUAUGCCUUGUUUAGUAUUCUGGUAUCAUCAACUACCCUCAUUCAUUAUCUAUCCCCGUCUUCAAUACUGAAUUACUGAAGCUUUGCCCUUAAUAGGUUUUUAUAAAUAGCGGUUCCUUCACGUUCUUGUUGCACCUAUUGUAUGCUGCCUUCCUUUCGAGGCUCGGGAUGAAGGCAUCUUUAAGAUUGCCAAGAUGGCUGGAGAAGGCGAUAUAACAGCAUUUGAGGGACUGUUAGUGUUGAUUAUUGGAUGGGUUGGGAUAUGGCGACAAGGAUUGUGUAAGCAUUCCUGCUGUGGUAUCAUGUAUCAUCAUCAGUCAUCAUUGUUAAUGACUACAAUCUUUACUUGUAUAACCUCAUUUGAGUAAAGGAGAAUACAGAUUUCCGUUGGUCUUAUAUUCCCUGCUGGUAAAAUUUUGUUUUAGCUCUCAUCUAACCAAAAAUUUUGUUGUAACAUACCAAACUCACAACACGAUGCAAAGGACUUGAUUCAUGUUUCCAGAUUUCGUUAAAGGGUGAAAACAGAGUGGAACAGUGAGGUUUGUGGUCUCGUAUUGGGGAAAAGAACAGAUGUGAAGUUCAAUACACAUUGCUCCAGCAUCACACAAAAGAUGUUCACCCUGCCGCACACAUCAUAUAUUGAAACUUCAAACAUCUAUUUUAUAAAUUUCAAAUGACGCAACUGAACAAGAAUCGUGCCUAUAUGCUCUACUCUAUUCUGAAAGUCAACCAAACAAUCUAGUACAACAGUAGAAUGAAAAUAAAUUGGACCUUGAUCAAUGCAUCCGUUACUAAACUUCUUAUACAAAAGCUAUAUUGACGAAAUACUUGACCCGCAUCACUCUUGAGUUGCUGGCAGAACUGAAAGACGUUUACAAACAUCAGAGAACGAAUGCAACGUAUGCAUUUCUAACACAAAGCACAACAAUCUCCCGCAAUGAAUCAUACUACACUUACAUAUAAAAGGAUGAAAUGAAUGGGAAGAGAACAGCCCCACAAGUCAAACACAACCAGAACUCAAGCUUCUUUCCUAGUUAUCCUGUAAUUCAACAAUGAACUGGUAGUUAGGAUCAUAAGUAGAUUGGUCCUCUGUAUGAAGGAAUGAAGAUAAGGUGGAAUGGUAUGUGUUAGUCUGAUUAUUUGAACCUGGUAGGUGCGACCAAUAAAAAAGAAGAAGGCAAACCCCAUAAAAGUGGAGAAUAAUGUGCUUUAAUACAAUACCAUACUCACCUGAAGCAAUAGAUUCCCAAGGCUGUCGUGAUUUCAUGAAUGACUGAUGUUGCAAAAUGAAGAUAGAGUGCCGCUGUGUUUGGAAGAAAAGAAAUAUCUUACAGAAAGUCAUGAUAACACUAUAACAAAGCAGCAGCUGCUAAUGCAUAUCUAUAUUUGAAAAAGAUUCUAAAAGGACAGUAAUUAAGAAUGAAAAUUUAAAUUGUCAUCAGGAAAAAGGACAUUGUACAAAGUUGUUACCAAUAUAACACCAAAAGGAUUAUCAUACCUGUAAAUGCACAGUAACCGAGGAGAACCAAACUGUCAUCAACCAAUGGAACACUGCAAUGGAAGGUGACAGAGUAAGUUCAAGAGAUGAGAUCAGGACCAUCAAGAACAUAAAAAUAACAUUUCUAGUAAGACAGAAGAGCUAGUAAUAUCAAAUAAAACAUACCCAUCAUUCAGCCUAGCCGUGAGUGCAUUUGCAAUGGCAAAUGGGAGGUACAACAAUGACUGUACGGUUAAUAAAUAUUGAAAUUAGUAAUCCAAUUGGGUCUUCAAUAAAAUUAAAUCAUACAAAAUGAAUAAAACUCUGCCACAAACAUCAACAUUUAUCCCUCAUGAAAAAGUAAUAUAAAAGUAAAUCAACCCCUCUUUCCAUGGACAUUAGCAUGAACUACCAUAUUGAAUACAAAAGGUAGAAUCUUAACAUAACCUACAUACCAUGCACAUUCCAGUUUUCAAGCCCUUUGGCUCAUCACACAAGUGAGCAAGAAUCAUUCUUCCCUGCAAAAAAACAAGCUUUACUUCAAUAACAAUUGUAUAUAAAGAAUUUGAUAGUUCACAUGCUGCUCAAAAUCGUGUAAUUAGAAAUAUAGGACUUCCGUAGCAGUAAAUGUAGCAAUCCAAUUUGAGAUGAAUAAAAUGAGAAACUCCAAAUGGGUUAUAAAGACACAAAUAUCUUACCACAAGGUACCCAAAAGCAAGCCCAGUUCCCAUUAUGACUAAAUGUGGAUAGUUCUUCAUGAUGCCUGCUGGUGACAAAUAAUCCCUGAAUAUAGAUACAUACAGCAUCAAUAUGCCACUAAUUUGAUUUUUCUCUUUCUUAAAAGGAAAAGAAAAGGUGCCAAGGCGAUAAAAGGACGUACCAUGCCAAAACUACUCCCAAAAGAACAGCAAAAGGAUAAAGCUGGAAGGAAACAAGCGGAAUCACAUUAUGCUUAUAGAGUAUGGAGACUCAAUAUACAAGAAACACAAAAGAUAAUAACAUUACCAUUGCCAGUGCCAAUAGCAUGCUGCCUUUCCGUGCCUGGACGACCUUAUAAACAUUCAUAACACUGCAUAUAAGCAUGAAACCACAUAAGGUCUAACUGGCCUUCACAUAACUAAUGGAAAGUGUACCUUUCAGCUCUGACAGUUCAUAUCAAUUAAACGGAGAGAAGGCAAUAUAUAAAAGCACUUCAGAAACAUAUUUUGCAUAGAUUUACAGCAGGUUGGUGUUAUAUAAAUAUAUAUAUAUAUAUACAAAGUUUUGAUAUCAAUUUGACCAUGAUAUUAGUACGUAGGCAAUAUAUGAAGACGAAAGUGGUAAUGCAGUAACUAUGAGUUCACGUCCACAACGUGGGCUCAUCUGUACCAACCCUGCUUCUAAGACUUAAGCAUAUGCAACUAAAUUCAUAGAAGCAUGGGUAUCAAAUAUUCAAAUUACAGGCUCCACACAAAUUAGACAACCAAAAACAAAUCAACCUGAGUUAAAUAAGUCAGGAUGUAUGCAUCAAGAGUUCAGGAAUAGAUUGUAAAAGUAAGGAAGGAACAAGAAACUGUUAUAAAUGAAUUUGACCGAACAUUCAAAUGUUGGAGAAUGAUAGCCACGUACUUGAAUGUUACGGUUGGGAGAACAGCGAAAGCUAUCAUUAGUAACAACACAGCGUUGGACAUCGUAAUUUCUGAAGCAACAGCAAAAGGAUCAACUUUAGACCAACUGCUGUGAAAUAUUUGGACAACAAGAGCAUAGACCAAACCCCUCUGACUUGGUGAUAGCUCAUUGGGAAAGUAAAAUAUUUAAAAAAAAAAAAAGUACUCUUAUCAAUUCGGUAAUGAAAGAUGACCAAGUUAUCUUUAAAGGAAUAUCAAUGAAUUACAUUGUAGUAUCCAGGCCAAGCCUCAUGAAAUGUUGAUUCCCAUACAUAUGUUUGAUGCCAGAUUAAAUUAUGGUUUUUAACUAAAUUAUAAUCUUACCACUUAGAAAAGGGAUCCAACUCAGAAUAGGCAAAGACUUGCCAAAUGGUUGAGCCCACCACUCAGAACCUGAAAAAUGAAAUAGUACAACCACAUUUAAUACACAAAAAUUAUAAAGAAAACUAAUCACUAGGGUGUCAAUUUCAAAAGAAAGUUUCAAAUUUAUAUACAUGUAAGUAAACAAUAGCAAGACAAGAGUAGAAAUUUACCAACAAAUGCUGUGAAACAAUGACUCAAAUAUAUCAGCAUGAGACCCUCUGUGGGCCCAUUCAAGGCAGGAAGAAUUAGGGUAUUGGUAAAGUAACUGGAACAAUAAAGCCAAAUAUCAGUACUAAUAAGAAAUCAUCUAAUUUCAUAUUAGAUAUUCUUUUACCAGUAAUAAAUUACAAAACAUUCUAUUAGAGCAAUUUGAAUCAAUUGACUUCCCAAUUCUUUCCGGACAGAAAAAAGGGUGAAGUAUAACUUUUUGAUGAGAAAAGAAACCAUUAUAACUUGAGAAUCAAGGUGCACAUCAACCAUAUUGUUGGAUUUUACUCAAAGAGGGACGAGAAUGUGUAAACUAAAUAUAAAUUGAACUGAGUUAGGAAACUCACUGCUCCCAAGUUGCAAAGUAAAAUGGAACAGCUGAAAUCACCCAGAACCAGAAAGUGUUUGUUCCACACAUUGCAGUGCUCCCAAAAGCCAAUGCUUCAAGCUAAACAAAACCAUUGGGAAAUGAAGUUGCAUCAGAUAUAACAAUAAGAAAUGCAUUUACAAGGUUGCAAAAUAAUAAGAUAGAUGAAGAAACAUACCGCACAUGCAAGUGCAUCACAUCCUGCAAUACAAGUUGAGAAUGUUCAAAAUAUAAGUCAUCAAUCUCUAACUCUUAACGUAAAUAGUGGACAUCAUAAAUCUGAUAAAGUAAAUUACCAUGGUCAAACAGUUCCCCAAGUGGACUUGAGGAAUUUGUUCGUCUGGCUUGCUUCCCAUCAACAGCAUCAAAGGUCUAACAUAUUUGACAUAUGCCAAAUCAGCAGGCAAUAAUGGAAAAAUCCCGAUGCACACAAAAAUGCAUAUAAAAUGUUCCUCUUGUACAGAUAACACAUAAAUUCAAUAUGAUUAAUGACUAACCUGGUAUAGGAAAAGUAGCAAUCCAUGAGCAAAAUUGACCCAUCUAGGAGGAGCUGAAUCCAAUCUUGGUGAAUAUAUCUGGGCAGAAAACAACACAACAUAAUUCAUUGGAGUUCAGUAAACAAUAGCAUUUCUAUUUUACAGAUCAUGGACACGGCAACAAGAGGAAAUGCAUUUAACACCAUUAACAAUAGUAAAAGUAAACAUACGAAAGUGUAGAUGUUUAAGUUUACAAUUAGCAUUAUGGACUAGGAAACCUAACAUAAAUGGAAAAUGGUUCAAUGCAAAUAAACAUGAAUACAUGAUAAGAAAAGUUUUACUUACGUAGCCAAGCAGUGCAGAUGUGAGUAAGAACAUGAACCCUGUAAGUGUAAUCUGGUGGAAAUUAAAACAUCAGCAAUAUUAGAAAUGAAGAGUGAUGGUUACCAAAACUGAUAUGGAAACAACAUAAUCAGAUGGAAGUAAAAACUCUACCAUGUUGGGCCUGAAAAUGAACUCAGAAUCGUGAAUAUGUGAGGCGACCAAAGGAAGAGAAAAGGUUAGCAAACUCAGCAAAAAGAUAAGCUCGUGAUAAAGUUCUAUAAGCAAAUGAACAGGCAAUACGAAAUUUCAUGACCAAAUGAUCAUAAGUAGACAUACAAAAAGACUGCCAAAAAAGCACCCUUAAAAAAUGAAACACAUAACUACUAUAAGCUAAUAGCUGCAACUGCAACACUAUAUAUAUGCGCACACAAAAACACAAGCAAAUUCUCACAUCUAUAAAUAAAACACAGUGGUGGGUUUGUAAUACAACCAAAAUUCUAGAACUAUACAUGCUACCUAAAGUCCUUGCCUAUUUAGAAUUAAUUAUUGAAUAGAUGCAUGAGAUGUAAACUACCAAAAAAAGGAAUAACUAUAUCCAAGACAUACCCAACACAAGUUUAUCAAACAUGAUACAUAUGCCUCUUAAGCUUCAGAGAAUAAAUGUCUAUUCUCAGGUACACAAACAACCUCAUAGUUUUAGCAGCCAAUCAAACCCAAUAAAACUAGUUUGUAACAAAGACAAUAUUUUUAUCUGAACUAUAGGCAUGCACAACACUCGUAAAUGAAACAAAAACCGGGUUUUAACUUACGGCAUCCAUAGGGGAAAGAAAUUCACGAAGCGAGUCCAGAAGGGAUUCAAGACAUAUUUGGAUACUAAGGAGUGAUCUACACCACUAUACUUGUAUUUAUGCAAGGCAUUCACACCAUGUGCCCCAAUAUACCCCAUUUAUUCCAAAUCAAGCUCUUCCUUUUUCGUUUCACAGAACAACCUGCACAGGAAGUUAAACAAAAACAACUCAAUACAAGCAUCCCCACACAUAUCCAUCACUGCAGAACCGCUCAAAAAACUCAAACCAAAUCCAACUUCUGCAACAAUAACACACUUAAGCAUCUGGGUAAUGCUAGAAGUGCACAGAAAUCACAACCCAAUAAGCAUUUAACCAGAAAAACGAAUAAAGAUUCAAACUUUGAGAGGUUUAAAGCAUGAAAAGGCACCCAAAAGAUUAAUCUUUUCUCUUCCGAUAAAAUGGGUGUGGGGAAUCUAAAAUCUUACAGAAGUGGGUAACAGAUCAGAGAAGGGUAGAGGAAACAAACAGAGUAGAAUCGAUGAGAUAAACAGGGAAAAGGAUGUAGAUUUAACCUUGUUGGAGUGGGUAGAGAUCGCGCAAGACAGAGGAACAGAGUGUCUUCAAUCGAAACUUAAUAUAAACGGCACAAAAGGAGAGACAAAGGCGAUAUAACUUUUUUUAUAUUCCCGCCCUACUAAUAUAAGGUAUGGAAUUAUUAAGGUAAAUUUAUGGGCUUUUGGUAUUUUACAAAAACGUCCCAAAUAAUGUUGAUGGAAAAACGUAGAGAUUAGAGAGAGUUAAGAAAUUUGUUUGAGGAUUACAAUGAAGGUAGUAAAAAGGAAUCCUAAUUCCAUAGUACAUAUGUUUUCUCUUUUUCAUUAGACUAGCCUAGUUUUUUUCCAUUGACGUCCUAUCUUUUUAUUCUCAAUCUUUACACUUAAAUAAUUAAUCUUCACAAAAUGCAUUUUUUUUUUUAUCUAAACUCUAAUUUGGAGAUGUGGGUGUUUCAAAAGGAAGAUUUGAUGGAGGGUAUUCACUAAAUUUGAUGAAGUAUAAUAUGUGUAAUGUGUGAAGUCUUACAAAAAUAUUAUAUCGUAGAAAUACCAAUUACAGUUUCAAAAAUCAAAAAAGUUAUAUAAUGUUCAUUAAAUUAGGAACAUCAUAAUCUCAAACAAUACAAUACACCCCAAAGUCUCAAAGAGGGUGCGAAAGUAAAAUUGCAAUGUUUUUCAAACAAAAUAACCGUGAAAUUGGGUGUCAAGCAACUUUGAAGCCGGUUAACAUCUUGAAGCCAGGAAUUUUGUUUCUUUAAACUAUGAGUUACUAUGUUUUUUUUAUCUGUCUCAACUAACACGUGCAUAUCAAACUACUAUGUCUAUAGAAGAAGUAUAGUAUGGCAUCACUAGGCAAUGCAUUGGAAUGAAAUGAGGCCACACCUCCUCUCUAAUUGUGUUUGAGAUUGACUAUAACAAAUUAACAAUUGUUAAUCUGUUUGUUAUAGUACUGAUUAUAGCUUUGGCAGAACUUUCAUAUUCCUUGCGCACUUUCGACACAUGCGUGACACCAGCGGCUGCCUUGAAGUUGCAAGUAGGGCGAAGUAGAAAAAUAGAGUUGUGACAGUGAAAUCACUGAAAUGUGAGUUUCGAGUUGUGAAAUGUUGUGAGAGGUACUAGUAGAGACGUAGAGUUGUAGGAGUUGAGACGCGCAUCAAUGUGUGCAGUACGUGUUCCUGAGAUUUUUCUCCUCCACUUGCUUAGAUAUUCUCAGAUCGAUGAGUCCGGCCGACAUAUAGAAUUCCCUUUCAUCAAAAGGUCGUUCUUUUUGUAUGAAUGGACCAGAAUUCAUACUUCAAUUCAAUUUCAAGCCGAAAGCUACUUAAUUAGCCUCAGCAACACUCCCUGCUAAUUUAACUCGCACUACAGUCAUGCCAUGCUAGCUAAAAGUUCAUUUUCAUUAUCCCAAAUGACCUAAAAGGCUGAGAGAAUCUAAAGAGUCGAAAUUAAAGCCGAAAGGGCAUUCAGAGCUAGCUAUAAUUGCUUUCUUGCAGAAAUUAGCCAACGUACUGAUGAAUAAUGCAAGUAUGCAACAGUACUAUAUAUACGCAUGCAUGUUAUUAUUUCCAGUUGAUAUUAUUAUUAAGCUCACCCACAUUUACACAUGUCAAUAAAAAUAGAACCCUUCUACAAUGAUCGAUGGAAUUAUAAUGUACUAACAAGUCGCAACACACCGACAUAGGGCUUCACUACUGAUCCAAUCCACAACUUUCCAUUGUGUUCUUCAACCUCACUCACAGACUCCAGCGUCGGACCACCCUCUCCAUCCAAAACUUUCACAAUGUUUCCUUGCUCAUCAAACUUCACUCCCACCGGAUCUUUCGUCAACCAAAAUGCUGAAGAAGUCUGGUUUCCCUGUAAUGCUCUUCGACUAUUUAGUGCAACCCAAAAUUCACCAUUGUCGGUUCUCUUAAUGUUAUCGGCUGGCCUUUUCAGUUGAGUAAAGAGUUCUACAUCACCGGCAUUGGGUCCUCGAAGCCAAAGCUUGAAGAUUUUGGAUGUCGCAGAUUCGGCUACUAGGAGGAAAGAACUGUCCUUGCUUAGAGCCACACCAUUUGCAAAGGCCAACUUAUCGAGCAACACAGUCACCUUCUUUGUACAAGGGUCAUAUUGCAAUAACCUCCCGGUUUUGUCACCGGUGGCAAUUGACAAAGGCCAAAACCUUAAUUUGGCAUUGGUCAUGUCGUGCAGACAAACAAAAAAAGUGUAAGCAAGUAAAAGAGAAAACAAAAGAACUUUCAACUACAUCGAAGGUAAGUACGUACCUUCUUUGGAAAAUUGUGCUGGUGUCUGUAAAAUAGACAAUUCCAGUGUGACUAUCAAUCUCCAGAGCAUUCGUAAAACGGAAAGGGACUCCGUUUAGGGAAGUGGCAAGUUGUUGAGGAUGACCACCAUUGCGACCUAUCUUCAAGAUCCCGAAGUAGGCAUCUGCAAUAUAGAGUUCACAAGUUUUUGGGUGGAACUUCAGACCUAGUGGCCUUCCACAUAUUGGUUCAGUCGCAUUAUCGGUUGAACGAUCACAUAUUUUCCUUUGCCUGAUUAAUUAAUACAAAGUUGUAAAUUAAUGUCAAUCAUUCGGUUUUUCCUAACCCAAAUUAUUUUAAAAAGAUAACUAACUAGUUACUCGGAGACCGACCAUUUACAACGCAAGUAUGUAUCACGCUUAACUCGAAGGUGAAUGUUCUACAUUUGACACAUCAUUUAUUUUGUUCUUGCUCUCAAGUCUAAAACAUCACUUUAUAACUUUGUCAUGCAUUGUAGAGACUUCAAUUGACAGUUUAGAAUUUUUCAUACAUGUUAUAAUUAUCUCAAUUUCUAUCUCAACCCUAAUAUUUGCAACUGACCAACAACCAACCAGCUAGUGGACUUUCAUACAUAGAGCAGUCAUAUACGCAAAAGAAGUAUCUUAAAGAAAAAAUGGUCAACUAGAUUGUAACUAGUAGGUAGCUUGCCUGGUUGGGGAGGUGAAGGCAAACUCCUUCCAGCCCCGGUGAGGCCCUUGCCAUUUGAGAAUUCUUCCAUCUGAAACUCCAACAUAAGGCCCUUUUCCGGCGCAAUCGAAUGCAACGCUCUCAGGACCAACGAUGCUACUUGGGAGCUCGAUUUGAUGGUAUUUUGUCAGGUCGACAACAGAGAAAGUUGUGGCUGGUGUGGAUGAUGCUAGGAUCAACGAAAACAAUAACAAGGAGAGUGAAAGAAAAUGUGGCUUCAUGGCUAGCUAUGAAGAUUUUCUUGAAUGAUGAAACGUACAGAAUGUGGCUCUCUCAGAUCGAUCUGAUUGAAGAUCGCUUCAGGGUCUGGUUUUCUCUAGCUUAUAUACAGAUCGUAUAGAUGGUGUUGUGUUGUAGAUGCCAAAGUCGUCGGUAAUAUUGAAUGGUUCAAUCAAAACUUGGAUAUAUAGAGGCUAACCAUUCAAAUAGCCACUUAAUCUUUAAGGGCUAAAGAAUUAUGACAGGAUGACAAUGCUAACAUGCUUUGUCCAUGCCAGAAGGCUGCAAAUCACUAAACAAUUAAACAAGCAAACUUUUAAGUAAACUUCUAUAUAUCAAACCACUUUAGGAUUUCAAUAUGAAAAUGUUUGAGCUAACGUAGUUACGUGCGUAUGACUUCACAGAAAUUACAACUGUAUCUUCAGUUAUAUACAAGUAUAUACAAUAAUUACUGGCAAGUUUCAUUAGGGUUUCAUAAUAGAAGAACUUUCUCUUCUUCGUCUUCAUGACUCCAUCCACUAUUUCUUCUUUCUUUAGCUUAGGGCUUAUCUUUUUCACCAUGAUCAGAUUUCUCACAGUUAGUAGCUUGAUGGACGCCAACAAGCUAGUAAUGCGUCGAUGUUUUUUCAUUGAACUCAUCUUAGUAUAAAUGAGGUUCCAUAUAUACGUAGAAUGAGAUUGCUUAAAGAUCGAGUACAUUUGGAUUAUCCAUAUUGAUAACACCAACAUAGGCUUUUACUACUGAUCCAAUCCACAACUUACCGUUGUGUUCCUCAACCUCGCUAAUAGACUAAAGCGUCGAACCACCCUCUCCAUCCAACACCUCCACAACGUUUCCUUGUUCAUCAAACUUUACUCCCACCGGAUCUUUCGUCAACCAAUAUUCUGGAGAAGUCUGGUACUGUCUUAGACUAUUCACUGCAACCCAAAAUUCACCAUUGUCAGUUCUCUUAAUGUUAUCGGCUGGUCGUUUCAUUUGAGUGAAGAGUUCCACAUCGCCAUCUUUGGAUCCUCGAAGCCAAAGCUUGAAGAUUUUGAACGUGGGAGUUUCGGCUACCAGGAGGAAAGAACUGUCCUUGCUUAGAGCCACACCAUUUGCAAAUGCCAAGUUAUCGAGCAACACAGUCACCUUCUUUGUGUUGAAGUUGCAAAUCAAAUAAAUGAUGUUACUGUUCUUGUGGAGGCCAUCUAGAUGGCAAUCACGUUUUACUUCUUCUACCUAUUAGCUAUUGCAUACUAUAGAUAUAGCUAGGCCAUUUUGGUUGAAUAAGUUCUGCAUGUUUGUUGCUUUCUCAUAUGCAUGGUGUAAUAAGUCAAGACAUUGCAUUCAUUGCUUUGUCUACUAUGUUUUGUUAGAAUUCCUAUAUAAGGAAUCAGCUAGUACUUAUUGUAUCAUCCCAAUCAACUCAUUGAAGAGUUCAUCAAUAAGAGAAGUAGAUAGUUUUCAAUUUCUCUAUUCCUUUGCUUUGUUGUUCUUGCUUCUUUCUUUAAAGUGUGAGUGAGAGUGUGGUGUGAUUUGUUUGUAAACUUAUCACCCAUUAUAGUUGGUGUUAGAUUGAAAGCCUGAAUACCAACACUUUGUACAAGGGUCGUAUUGCAAUAACCUCCCGGUUUUGUCACCGGUGGAAAUUGACAAAGGCCACAACCUUAAUGUGGCAUUGACCAUGAUGAGAAGACAAGGAAAAAUGUAAGCAAGCUAAACAGAAAAGAAAAUAACUUUCAACUGCGUCAGAUGUGGAUGCUUAAUUAAUAUCAAUAAUUUGAUGUAAAUAUAUGUAGUACCUUCUUUGGUAAACUGUGCUGGUGUCUGUAAAAUAAACAAUUCCAGUUUCACUAUCAAUGUCCAGAGCAUUCGUAAAACGGAAAGGGACCUCAUGUAGGGAAGUGGCAAGUUGUUGAGGAUGACCACCAUUGCGAUCUAUUUUCAAGAGCCCGAAGUAGGCAUCUGCAAUAUAGAGUUCACAAGUUUUUGGGUUGAACUUCAAACCUAACGGCCUUCCACAUGUUGGUUCAGUCAUAUUAUCGGUUGAACCAUCACAUAUUUCCCUUUGCCUGGUUGAUCAAUACAAAGUUGUAAACUAAUGUCAAUCAUUUAGUUUUUCCUAGACCAAAUAUUCAAAAAAUAAUUAAGUAAUAGAUGAGGCAAUAUUAGUUCUUCAAAAGAGACGGACAUUUAAAGAGUAAGUCUCACCCUCAAACCCGAAGAUGAAAGGAUCUACCACCGGAGCUCCCUGGCCCGCUCGCUCAUCGGAUCCCCUUGUCUAAUUUGUUUCUAGACUUAACUUGAAUGUCCCCCUUUAUUUUUUUUUUUUGUCUCUCAAUCUAAUAUCGAUUGGCCUUAGUGCAGAUAUAUAUAUAUAUAUAUAUAUAUAUAUAUAUAUGUUAAUAUCUCAAAUUCUAUAUCUUAACGCCAAACAACCCAAUUAACCAGCUAAGUAUAGCAGUGGACUUACAUAAACAAAUCCCAAUUGCUUGUAUAAAGUAGUCAUAUAUACAAAAGUCUUCUUGUGAAUAUGUGAAAGACAAAAUGCAGAAGAAGCUGGGGGGAUAUAACUUAAAAGAAAAAAGAAGUCAGAUAGAUGAUAACCAGUACUAGUAGCUUGCCUGGUUGGGGAGGUGAAGGCGUACUCCGUCCAGCCCCAGAGAGGCCCUUGCCAUUUGAGAAUUCUUCCAUCUGAAACUCCAACAUAAGGCCCUUUUCCAGAGCAGUCGAAUGCAACGCUUUCGGGUCCAACUGCGCCUUUUGGGAGCUCGAUUUUAUGGUAAUUUGUGAGGUCGACAACAGAGAAAGUUGCUGCUGGUGUGGAUGAUGCUAGGAUCAACGAAACUAAGAACAAGUAGGGUCAAAGAAAAUGUGGAUUCAUGGCUUUCUCAGAUCUGAUUUGUACAUGCUGUAUUUCCACUUAAUUACAGAUCGAGUUGCCAAGGUGGCAAAGUGUGUACGUACGUAUAUGUAUUGUUAGACUUGUGAGUAGUCAUAUUCGUGUAGAAAAAGUGUACUUGUAGUCUAGAAGAGCCAAAUUUGUAAGACGAGCCUAGCUACUUGGAGGAGAAGAUGGUGUGGUGAUUGCAGCAAAUAUAGGAAACGAAAAACAAAUGGGAUUGUCUAUCGUACCAUAUGAUAUGACAUGCCUAUUACAAAUGUGUCUAAUUGUAUGAUAUAUGAGAGCUUUUAAAGGGGUAAAUGGUUAUUACAUUGUCAUUUAGUUGUUUAUUCAGUCAAUAAUAGCCACACAUUGUGUGAGACAUGUUAUAACAUAUGAUAUACUAGAAUUUUCCAAAACAAAUAAAUUUGAAACUGAUUUCAUAAGAUGCCUAAUCAAGGGGUCAACUUUUAGUGUAUUACGGCAUAUAAGUAGCUGGGCAAAAGGUCAAAAACGUGGCCAAGGAUCACGUACCCUGCUUAAUUAUCUCUAGGCCUCAGUGAGGUGCGGAUGAAUUAUCAGACUUGAUAAACCUAAAGAAAGGACUUAAAAACAACAAUUAUGUCCCUAACAAUAUAUGAACACAAGCCAACUAAAAAGAUAACAACCUAAUAGAGCCGUUACAUGAUUCCUAAUCUAAGUGACAUAACAUGCCACAUAGGAUUAAAAUCAUAAAUAUGAGGUCUUAUUAAGGUCCUCUAGCACUACUUUUUUUAGGUUAUGAAUCAAUCUAGCUAAUAUGUUAUAUGUACACACUCGUUUUUCCUAUUGAUCGUUAAAAAAAAAGUUAAAAACAAAAAAAAAACUCAAUCAAUUGACCUUAUUGAUCAUUGUUUUGUCUUUCGGAGCCAGUGUUCACUCUGUGCAUACAUUGUUUUUUUAUAAGGGUCUUAGGCAUAUGUAUCCGGCCAUAUUUAUAUAGGUUAGGCAAUUGAUUUUCCCAGCUGAAGUUUUGAAACUUAUUGGAGAUGAUGGUUGCCUAACCUAGCUACAUGGAUACAUAGAAGGUUUGAAACUUACUGGAGAUAUGGAGAUUAAGGCUGCCUAACAUGGCUACAUGGAUACAUAUGCCUGAGGCCAUUUCCAGGCUCCAGCGGAAGGCUGCAAAAAGUUUAGGUUUGAACUUACAUUAAACUUGGAGUUACGUUUUAUUCUGCUUGCUGGAGAUGAGUUUUGACAAAUUAUAGAACCUGCUUGGAGAAGGUCUUAGUCAAACCAGAUCGUUUAAACGGUCGUCCAUGAGUGUGUUACAGUAAUAUGAAGCAAAACGUACACUCCAAGAAAUACCGAAGCCAUAAUCAUAUCAAGUACAUAAAUGUAAUAGGAAAAUCACCUAUAGCGCCUCUUAAUUUGUUGGAGAUUGUUGUUAAUUAAACAAGAAUCUUCCACACUGCUUAUGCUUGCUUAACUGUAUGAUGAGCUGGUUUAUGUAACAACCAACAUGGCAACAUGCACGCUAGUACUAGUAGUACAUAUCUAGUUGAUUAAUACAAGCCUACACCAACAUAUGAAUUCUGCGCCGAUCCAAUCCACAGCAUUCCGUUGUGUUCUUCAACUUCACUAACAGACUGAAGCAAGGCUGCAGCACUAUCUUUUCCAUCCAACACCUCCAAAACGUUUCCAUCCUCAUCAAACUUUGCUCCUACAGGAUCUCCUAGCAGAGUCGCAGAUAUUGAUCCUCCUACCCCGUUGUUGAUCGCAACCCAGAAUUCUCCAUUGUCAUUUCUCUUGAUGUUAUCUGGGAACCCGACUAGCUGAGCAAAGAGUUCCAAGGUAUUAGCUUUGGGUCCUCGAAGCCACAACCUGAGGAUCUUCAGCGUCCCGGUUUCGAUUAAGAGGAGGAAAGAUUUGUCCUUACUUAAAGCCACACCAUCUGGAAAUGCUAAUCCCUUGAGCAACACAGUCGCCUUCUUUGUUCUAGGGUCGUAUUGCAUCAACCUUCCAGUUCUGUCAGCGGAGAUGAUGGACAGUAUCCAAACACUAUGACAUGAUAAAAGAAAAUUAAGAAGAAGUUAUAUUAGAUUCCUACAACUAAUCUUGCGAGUUAUGAAAUGAACACAGAGAUGAAAAGAAACAAGGAGUUAAGCAUGCAUAUAUAUAUAUAUAUAUAUAUACAAUACCUUCUUUGGAAAAUAAGGCUAGUAUCUGUAAAGUAUACCAUUCCAGAUUCGUUAUCAACGUCCAAAGCAUUUAAGAAAUGGAAGGGGACUCCUCCUGCAGAACUUGCAAGUUGAUGAGGACGGCCACCAUUUGGCCCCGUCUUCAGGAGCCCAAAAUAGGCGUCUGCAAUAUAGAGCUCACACGUUGUGGGGUUAAACUUCAGACCUAGAGGCCUUCCGCAUAUCGGUUCAUUAAACUUGUUGGUUGAGCCAUCGCAUAGUUUCCUCUGCCUGAUUGAAUCAACAAAACGAUCACUCUCCGUUCUCCAAUAGAUGCAUGCUUAGCUUAAAGACAGCUUAAUGCAAGUACGUACUAACCAAGCAAUGUAUGUAGUAUCAUAAAAAAUUAAUUACAAAACACCACCCGAACUAUGAUGUUAUUUUCAUUUUCAUACCAAACUAUCAAAAUCUUGCAUUUGCAUACCCUAACUUUCAUUCCGUCAGCAUUUUGAUACCUUGACCACUAACAUUGUUAAAUUUUGAGGGCUUUUUCGUCAUUUCAAUAAAUGUAUCAUUUUUUACAUUUACUUUAAGAAUUAAUUAUAAAACAUCACCCGAACUAUGAUGUUAUUUUCAUUUUCAUACCUAACUAUCAAAAACUUGUAUUUUUGUACCUUAAGUUUCAUUCUGUUAGCAUUUUGAUACCCUGACCACUAACACCGUUAAAUUUUGAUAAUAGUCAAAGGCGUUUAUGUCAAUUCAUGAUAUCUUUAUAAUUGAAAUUCAAAAUUAUACAUUAAAUUGUUAUUAAAAUUAAAUAUCUUUCAUUACUAUUGUUCAAACUCGAGAACACCUUUUCUUCACCCAAAUCAAUGAGUUAUUGUGAUCACUGACUAAAAUAUCCUCGAUAUUUUCUCAAAUUUUUUGUUUUUUACAAGCAUCUAUAUUAAUUUUCAUAUUUUUCCAAUAUUUUAUAAUUAAUCCAUUUUUAGUUGAAUAUACCAUGUUUAUAUAAAAUUUUAUAAAAUUUUCAUUGAUAUUCAAUAUUUUCUUGAUAUAAUUUAUUUAUUCAUUUUGUUUUGCUUAACAUGUAACUCCAAAAAUAUAUAUACAUAUAAGAGUUCUACUAACUUUUAUCACUAUUGUUGCAAAAAUAAAUAUUUAAUUUUGGAGUUUUUUUUUUUGAAUAUUUUUGCUAAAGUAAAUUGUUCUAUUUGUAUUUGAUAACCUCAAAAAAUAAAUUAUUUUGUUAAAGUAAAUAUAAAAAAUGAUACAUUUAUUGAAAUAAGGAAAAUGCCCUCAAAAUUUAAUGGUGUUAGUGGUCAGGGUAUCAAAAUGCUAACGGAAUGAAACUUCGGAUAUAAAAAUACAAGUUUUUGAUAGUUAGGUAUGAAAAUGAAAAUAGAAUCAUAGUUCGGGUGGUGUUUUGUAAUUAAUCCUUACUUUAACAAAAUAAUUUAUUUUUUGAGGUAUCAAAUAUUAAAAAAACUUCAAAAUUAAAUAUUUACAACAAUAGUGAUAAAAGUUAUGUAUGCAUAUUUUUGGAGUUACAUGUAUAUUAAAUAUAAAAUAUAAAAUAUCAUAAAGAUAUGAAAAUUAAUAUAUGCUUGUAAAAAAUAGAAUGUUCGAGGAAAUAUCGAGGAUAUCAUGGAUAUUUUAGUCCAUGAUCACAAUAACCCAUUGAUUUUGUUGAAGAAAUGGUGUUCUCGAGUUUGAACAAACAGCAAUGAAAAAUAUUUAAUUUUAAUGUACAAUUUUUAAUUUCAAUUACAAAGAUAUUAUGAAUUGACAUAAACACUCUUAAAUAUUAUCAAAAUUUAACAAUGUUAGUGGUUAGGGUAUCAAAAUGCUAACAUAAUGAAACUUAGGGUAUGAAAAUAGUAGUUUUUGAUAGGUAUGAAAAUGAAAAUAACAUCAUAAUUCGGGUAAUGUUUUGUAAUUAAUCCUAUCAUAAACUCAUGAGAUCCAUUUAGCUAGCUUGCCUGUUCGGGGAAGUGUAGGAAAACUCUGUCCAUCCCUUGAGAGGUUCUUCCCAUUUGAGAAUUCUACCAUCUGAAACCCCAACAUAAGGUCCUUGUCCACGGCAGUCGAAUGCAACGCUUUCAGGGCCGACUGUGUUAUUCGGGAGGUCGAGCUGGUGGUAGUUCCUGAGGCUAGCAAUGGAGAAAGCUAAUGCUGGCUUGGAUGUCGAGGUUGAUACUAGGAUGAUGAUCAGCAAACAAGACUGCAAGCAGAAUGAAGCAAAAUGAGGGUUCAUGGCUGAAUAUUAAUUAAAGCUGCCGAAAUGUUAUGAUCGAAUACUAUAGCUAGCUCAGGCAGCUAUUUAUAAACAGCUUAACAGCGUUUUGCAUGCGUAUCAUUUCCCAACGACUUAACAUAUAUCUUAAUUAGCCACCCCACAAGAACAUUAUCAAAAUGUGAUCAAAUCCCCACAUCAUAAAGACGUUUGAAUGUUGGGUACGUUGGUUAAUUGCUAUACCAUAAAAGAGGCUGCAAUUUGCUAUGAAAGGGUCCUCGACGGAUUAGUGUUUAGACCUAAAUAACCUUUAGAAUACCGCGAUCAAUAUAUCCGUAAAGAAUAUGUCAAAUAGAGUAUACAUGUCUUGUUAAUUCAACUUUUAAUCAAAGUUAUUAGUCGAAACUUAAGAACUUAUAGCUAUAUUUCAGCCCAAUAUAUUGGACCAAAAUCGAUAAUUUCAGAUACAUUGAUGCACACAACAUAAAACUUCAGUACCGUUAAUCAUCAAAAGGGAGCGACAGCCUUCAAUUCAUUCGGUUCCGGAUAGCAAGGUGUGUGUAGUCAACUGCAGAUACAACAAAUAGGGCAACAACUUCAUUUCAUAAAUUUCGCAUGCAUGAAUGUAAGCAUACAAGUCUACCUAUGUGUGCGUAGGUUGGACUCAUACUAUAAUCUCUCAUCCUAUCAAUUGAAUUCCAUUAUUGUUAGACAAAAGCAUGUGCUAGACUCAAAUUACAACACGUCCAAUUGAAUAUGACAACGAUGUCGAUCAUUCAUUUUAUUGAAAAUGUUAGUUAGUAGUUAGUACGUAUCACAAGAACUAAGUAGUACUCGAUUGAUUCAUCCGCCGGAAUUAACCAUAUAAUUAAUGAAUGAACCAAGCACUAGUCCCUGCUGUGAAGCACUGAAGCUAGCACACAAUCGAUCACUAGCUAGCUAGAUUUUGUUUAGUGAAAACCAAUCUGCAUUUGGGAAGAUAGACUUUCAUUUGUGAUCAUCAGCAGCUGCAUGCAUGCCUAGCUAAUAUUCUUAUCCAGGUUUUGUUUCUUCUUCUUCUUCUUUUUGAACUUGAAUCAGUUGACUUGGUAUUAAUUUCCACGACAUGAAUACAUGAAUCGAUAGAUCUGUCAAUUAUAUGUAUCUGCAAAAAUCGGAUAUAUAUUUUGCAAGUUGCAUUCAAGUUUUGACAAGUGAUCGAGUCCGGUAGUAGUUGAACAUAUAUGCAGAACUGUUCUAUUUAUUAUUCUCGACCAACUCGGAGUUGCCUGAUCGCGAUCGAUUUGGCAUGUUGAAGGGUCUUGCGCUUAAUAAUGGCGUUCAAAAAUGGUGAGAUUUUACACUUUAAAUAUACUCCUAUCUUUCUUGUUGAAUGGAAUUAGGGUUCUAAUAUAUAAUCUGAAGUCUUGACUCUUGAUCGAGCUUAAUUAGCGUCGACUUCGCCUCCCAUCCUUAGACAUCAGGCCAAGCCCAUAGGCAACUAGAUGUCAAGACAAGAUCGAUCUCACAGCAGCCAACAAAUUAGAAGAAACAACGACGUCGAAGCUAGAAGAUCGAUCAGGUCCAAAAGAAAUACAAUCAAGGGAGGCCCGAAGACCCAGAUAAUACUAGGUCAAAGUCAUCGAAUUCGAACAUCAACAUAUAUGUAAAGACGAUUGAGUGCUCUCAUGUCAUAUUUUCAUCUGUGUAAAUUAACAUGACCUAACGUACGUGUACAUAUGACAACAAAUUAUCACCAUCAAUCCUCAAUUUUCUCUGCUCUCCACGCGAAGGAAGAGAGGGAAGAGGGAAGCAAGUUGUCAAUACCAUCAUGUACUCUAUUCGUUGUUCCCUGCCUUGGAGAUGUUAAACAUAUGCCUUUGCUAUACACGUACUGUCUAUUUCUAGAGAGUUUGAUCGUGAAAUCUUAGUGAUCGAAACUGUAGUACUGUACUGAAAACGAACAUGGUGUGUAUACGUAUUGUAAGUAGUUUAGCUAGAAGUUCCUUUUCUUUAUAAGUUGCUUAUAAUAGAGAGAUUUGUAAGUCGUUCGCUGGCCAAAAUGUCUUUACUGCUCCACGAACAUCUUACUCGGGUGUUCUGCAAAUUUUCAUUAUGGCAUCGAUCCCUCCUCAUUUUACCAAAAACACCAUAUGCCAUGCAUGCGACAUUGCAACACAAAGGGAGACAAUGACUUCUAGGUCGUGCUCCGUCCGAUGGUCACACUUCUCAGGCUGAGCAUCUCAGCCGUAGCAGGAUGAGAGAAUUGUGACUUUCGGAGCUGACCAUGCCAUCUCCGGAUCCUUAUAGCAGUAGAUUGACUAGCUUGCUCUACGAGCCUCGAUCCACAAAUCGGUGCUCGUGUUUGAGCCCAGUGGGUAUUUUUGGUUCAAGACUCGGGGUACGUUUUGGAUAACAUUUGGGCCAGUACCUGUGACCCCUUUUUUAAUGCAAAGCCCACGAAGGGUGGCGAAAUCUGGCAACACACGAGUUGGAGUUUUGCAAGGAUUCUGAUACCCCGCGGGAUUCGAUGUCCUCGCGGGAUCCUUUGUUCCAGUUCGUGAAGGAUUCUACAGUGCAUGGCGAGGUAGAGUUGGAAAUGGACUGUAAUACUCCGCGGGAUAGGAUCGCUUAGUGUUCGAGUUCGCGUACGACGCUACAGUGAGAUGAUGCGGGGCGGUGAGCGAGACCUAGGCGAGGUCUGUUCUGGACACGUGUUGCACGGAUCACGCGGCUCGCAAGCUGGUCGUAUCCUUGUGGAAUUCUAAUUGCUGAGUCCGAAUGGGUUGUAACUAGGUCUCUGCGAAUUGCUUACGGAUCGCUAUAUAAGGGAGCUUAACACAAUCAAAGAGGACACACACAAUCAAUCAUACAAAAACAAUUACAAGUCCUCGAGCAUCCUCGAAACCCUAAGUUCUAAGUUCACUUCGCCUUAGUUCUCAGACUCCCUCCUGAUUCGCUUUUUUUCCCUAUUUGUUGCUCUGCUCACCCUAGCAGUGGGUAUCGAUUCACAGGUGACAAGAGAUCUUACUUGUAAUCCCUCAUCCGUGAGGUGGCACCGGUAACCGUCUCUUCGCUUGUUUAGAAGUCUAGCCGCAGCGCAUUCCUUUCCUCGCCCGCGAGGUGGCAUGCCCCGCAAAUCUCAUUUUCUUUACUUUUGAGUCACCGGAGUUCCGACUCUGCCCCUGCUGAGAUACGUGGCCAAAACAGCUCGUAUUCUUCAUGCUUGGAAUUUGGGACCUUGAUGUCUCUAGGAAAGCCAUUACCGUAUACUGUUGUUGUCGGACCUCGCUUUUUCCAUCGCGCACUACUGAAGGGAAAGGAAGAUAAAGAUGAAGAUUGUAAACCAUUGACGUCAAUUAUAGUCGACAGAUAUUUAGGAGAUUAAGACUAUACUUGUAGAGUGGACUCUUUACGACAUUACCUCAUUCCAAGUCUAAAUAUAGAGAGACUAAGGAAAUAGACAAGCUAGGUCUGAUUAAGGAGAUAAGACCCGUACGUCAAAGUGCUUAACAGCUCAUGAUCAUACAUGCAGAUCUUAUCAUUUCAUUUUUUAUACAUAAUCAUUCUCAAAAGAAAAGUAUUUUAUACAUAAUCCUGGAUUAUACUGGAUGCAUUUUAUUUAGAAUACAGAAAGCCGUCGUAUAAAACGUACCUUUAUAUUAAGAAAUCUCAGGCCAACUUCCACCCCACUACUCCUCCUCCCUCCAAUUGGUCCCUUUAAACUUGGUUUAACUAUAGACAAAGCAAGCUAUUUAAGCACUAUCACCUUGUUUAGUGGGACAAGAAGGGAAGGAUCACAACCAAAGAGAGCGACUAGCCAAGGAGAGAAUCGAUUCCAUCAUUUUAAUGCAUAAAAAUACUGCAUUAUUGUCCAGAAACACUUGUUAAAUACCCCAUUUGAUUAUAUACGUGGAUGAAUGAUGAAAUCCAUAAACCCUGGG
Molecule: long non-coding RNA, 60334 nt
Filed under: Fragaria vesca (wild strawberry)
Lineage: Eukaryota; Viridiplantae; Streptophyta; Magnoliopsida; Rosales; Rosaceae
Description: long non-coding RNA (FVES_LNC002002)
Source: RNAcentral